RNAcentral lists this long non-coding RNA (49031 nucleotides) under Setaria viridis. RNAcentral describes it as "long non-coding RNA (SVIR_LNC005935)". Lineage: Eukaryota; Viridiplantae; Streptophyta; Magnoliopsida; Poales; Poaceae. The record is from RNAcentral.
GGGGACUGACCUAUGUCCCUACUGCCCCGACUCACCGGAAGACUUGGAACACCUCUUCUUCACCUACCCCCGCAUCUCUGCCUUCUGGGCUGCGGUCAACCCUGGAGCGCCUCGUCAAGGACUGCUCGAGCUGAGUGACACCGUCCCCCUACCCUCCGAGAAGCUCUGCCACACAGCCUCUCUAUUGCUAUGGGUCAUCUGAAAAAGCCGCAACCAGAUGGUGUUCUGCGCCGCCAUGGUGGCCGAGGUGGCUAGCCUUGUGUGGCUAUGGGCCAUCAGGGCUCCCUGGUGUCUGGACCUCACCCCCUAGAUGAUUGGUGCUCCACCAUUUUUAUGUAAUUUCUGCUUUUGAGUGAUUUGCUCCCCACUCUUGUGUACUCCGCGCCGACGUUAUAAACACCAUCGGGUGGGCGAUCUCCGCCCACCGUUGCCGCCUAAAAAAACCAGGUAACACACGUAUGUGGUAAAAUGACGGAUUGACUAAUACGAGAGACGGUGCUCUUGCUGGCACGCAGCACAUGUGUCGUGCGUGCGGCGUUUGGUUCCCUUUGCUUAUUUUUAGCACGUGUCACAUCGAAUGUUUAGAUACUAAUUAAGAGUAUUAAACGUAGACUAUUUACAAAACUCAUUACAUAAGUGGAGGCUAAACGGCGAGACGAAUCUAUUAAGCCUAAUUAAUCCAUCAUUAGCAAAUGUUUACUGUAGCAACACAUUGUCAAAUUAUGGAGUAAUUAGGCCAAAUAGAUUCGUCUCGCCGUUUAGCCUCCACUUAUGUAAUGGGUUUUGUAAAUAAUCUACGUUUAAUACUCCUAAUUAGUAUCUAAAUAUUCGAUGUGACGGGUGCUAAAAAUAAGUUAGGGGAACCAAACCAGGUGGAAUUAGCUUCACGCUCAUGCUCAAUGCUCUUAUUAGAGUCAGUUUCGACACCUGAUGAAUGCUACCGUAUGAAUUUUGCCACCGAUCAUUUCCGUCCAGUUCCUCUCGGAUUCUUUUUUGAGUUUGCAAGUUUUGUGCUCAAAGCUCUACUAGCUUGGUACCACGAGAGCUCCCGGGUCAUUCAGUAAGCAGCCUCGGACAGUACUACUCUUCGGUGCAACGGAAAGAAAAAACCAAAUGCACGAAGUACAAACACGCGCAACGCGCUCGCUUCGUGCACAAGCUUAAUUGACCCUGUUAAAUUGUUAGCUAAGCUCUCAAGGGAUCGAUUGAGCUACUAGCAUGAUUUCCUCGUUUAGUAGAGUAGCAGUUCUGAUGGAAUGGAAGACUCGUGUGGAAGAGAACAAAUCAAGUUGCUUCGUACUGGCAAAAGGGCCUGUUCGCUUCAGCUUAUUCAGCCGGCUUAUCAGCCACCAAACAGUGUUUUCCUCUCACAACAAAUCAGCCGUUUCAGCUUUUCAGCCGGCUUAUAAGCUGAAGCGAACAGACCCAAAAGGCCAAUUAAUCACGAGGUUGUGCAAGGGAAAGGAAGCCUGUCAUCGGAAUCGUUAUGCCUACGCGAACCGAGAGUUCAGAUAAACGCACCAGGUUCGGGUCCUAAUUAGCCCCGCUAAUAAGUUGAAACCCGGCCCAAACUGCUUUAAAUUAACUCAUUCCCCCAUCCCGCCCCGUCCUAUAAUUUUAUUAUCUAAACCCAACCCUACUCGCUCCACCAAUUGAUAUAACCUAUGGAUUUGAUAUGUGAAAUUAUGAACAUAUGGGCCCCGCAUAAAGAGUCAGACCCUAAAACGAAAACCUCACAUUAACACCUUAAAAUUUUAGAGAAAUUAAUCGAAAUUUGUUGGAGAUGACUCAGUUUGACGGUCCGCUAUUUUAUGCAAAUUGUCGCGGCUGGACUUUAGAUGGGCCUCGCGUCCAAAGCUAGACCGUAAAACUAAACCUCGCGUUCACACUUAAAAUUUAAAAUUUAAUCGUCGAAAUUUGUUGGAGAUGACUCAGUUUGAUAGUCCUUUCCUUUGUGCAAAUAGUAUGAACUAAAUCUACAUAUGGGUCCCAUGUCAAGAGCUGAACAGUUAAACCCAUACAGACUGAAAGAAAAAAGAACCACUUCCAACCCGCACUCGUGAUAUACCCAACUCAUUAGAUGCUAAAACCCAUUUUAACCGAUUCAAACACACCCCACGUCACAACCCAUCCCAAAAACCAUUUCAACCCGCUCCAUUAGCAGGUAACCUGGAGUAUAUCCUCUUCUCAAACAUAGAAAGGGAGAAAAUAGAAACUGCUGGCUCGUAACUCGUAUAGUCCGAGAACUAGGCCCCAGGAGCUGUGCGUAGCCGUACACAAGCCGCCAGUACGGAAUGAAUAUACGGAGUGGAGAUGCUAGUCCAGGCCUCCAGGGUGAUGCGGCGGCAGAAGCGGCGACUGGCGUGGCAAGGCGGCAAAGCUCACCGUGCGACAGGUAGCGCAUUUGGCCAAAAGUCCAAACGUUUCACGGCGCCUGGAAAAGUGCCCUUCAGAUGGCCCCCGACGCGUCAGGCAUGCACGGCACUCGGGCAGCACGGCAAAGUCGGCACUUGGCACACGGGCGCGCUCGGGCCGAGAAGGCGGACGCGCGCGGGCGCCGCCCCCGCUUCCAAGCAGGCGGGAAGGAAGCCACCAGGAGUCCAGGACGGCCGCGAUGCGGGCACUGCCGGCGCGCUCUGACCUCAUGGCUCGUGCAACCGAUGCCAGCAUGUAUGGAACCGCGCCGGGGGUCUGGCUCGCCCUCGCACCGCCGCGCCGGCGCCGCUACACUACACGCGUGAAUAAAGUAAGAAGGUACUGUCGCGGUGCUGCGAGGCGGCGACACCUACGCGGGGUUAGUUGCCGCCCUAUCCGUCGGGCCGUCCCUGGUUCCCUGAAUCCCUGCCCACGCCGAGUAGGUCUUGGCGAUCGGGUGAUAGAUUGGUUUGGUUUGUGUUGCAGCAAAUCAGGAGGCACAUGCCCAGACUCGAAUCGUUGUCCCGUGGCAAAUUUUGGAGCGUGUGGCGUCUCCCACGUGUCGACAAGUAUAAUACACCAGUGACGCAAUAAUGGAUUAUUGUUAUGGAGUUGGAACGAGUUUUCACAAUUUCCAUGUGCUUGCUCUCUUCUCUUGCGUUCGAUACGGCGGCUCGUGAGUCGUGAUUAUAGAAGAGAAGGGACCGCGCGCGUGUUGCCAUGCGAAGUAAUGAAAUGGCCGGUCCGGUCGAUGGUGAUGACAACCGUACUAUGCGGGGCUACCACCAGGCCCCGGUGCUACGGGCGAAAAGUGCAAAACAAACAGUUCAAUAUGAGAGUUUCUGUGCGGAUGAAAUUUCCCCGUUGCACACGCUAUUUGUCUUCACACCGAACGGUAUUCGCAACACAGCUGGAUCACAGCCUUCCCCAGUUUCCCCUUGAGCUUACAAGACGCCUACGUGUGCAUGAGCUUUAUUCGAUCCAGCCGACUCCGCGGCCUCUCUAUCUACAGCUGACCGGAUUAACGGCUGCUUGUCUCGUCACAAGCAAGCGCGAUCUAAACCAAUUUUAACCGGGCUAAACCAAUGCAAAGUGCUCAUGUUUAGUUGGGUGACUAAAAAUAUCCCAGUUUGCUAUGCUCAUGUUUGAUUAGCUGCACAAGGUGAUAAGAUGGCCCUAUAUUCGCUAGAGGUGAAAUUACCACCGUCCCAUCCUCUCCGGUCCUCUCCUUCCUCCCCCUCAUCUACUACUCCUCCUAAUCCCCAACCCUGAUGGUGCGCUGCCGCAUCACCGCCCUCCUCGUGGUGUCGCUCCUGCUCCCGCUCGCCCGCCCGGACUCCUCCUCCCUUCCGCCGCCACCACCAACACCUCGUACGACGAGCUCCGCCUCCGGGGCUACCCUCGGAGCCUGCUCCUGGUAGAGUGUAGCUAUCAAGCCUCCCAAAAUUGGGUGAUGGACCGAUUCAUGUCCGCAUUGAGCUUCGCCACAGUCGGAUAAACCUCAAGCAUGGUCGAAUCGAGCUCCAGCGCCGCCCGCGGGCCCACAUCACCGCUCGCCUGCUCCCUCCGGUUGGGGUCGUCAGCCCGCCAGACCGCUGGCUAGGCGUCCACCGCCAUGAGCCGCGCCUCACCGUCGCACCCCCGCCACCGCCGCAAGCCAGCCGGGCGGCACAUGCCCCACCCGCUUCGCCCACGGUACCUCUGUCCCGGUUAGCAACGCGUUGAGCUUUGAUGCGCCAAGGACUUCCGGAGGCCGCCGCCGUCGCGGCUGAUGGCAGGGCGUAGGUGCCCGCGCAGGUCCGUUGGGAAUGUGAGGUACGCGGUGUAUUCCAGCAGGGAAGACAAGAGGGUGAGGCGACUCUGCCAACUUGAACCACCGAGGCUUGUACGAGCCUACGUUAGUGGAAACGCACGCUCGCUAUGUUCCCAGGAAUCCAGGCAACGCCCCCUCUUUUGCACUACUGAAGCUAGGCUUAGGAGCAUCCAAUCACAUGCAUGCUACAUUACCGAAGCCUAUUCGAGGAACCAAUCACUACUCGUAGGGGGUGUUUGGUUCCACGGACUAUAAUCUCUGUCACAUCGAAUGUUUAGAUACUAAUUAGGAGUAUUAAAUAUAGACUAAUUACAAAACCAAUUGCACGGAUGGAGGCUAAUUCACGAGACGAAUCUAUUAAACCUAAUUAAUUCAUGAUUAGCACAUAUUUACUGUAGCAUCACAUUAUCAAAUCAUGGACUAAUUAAGCUUAAUAGAUUUGUCUCGCGAUUUAGUCUCCAUCUGUACAAUUGAUUUUAUAAUUAGUUAAUUUAAUCCUUCUAAUUAGUAUCUUGAUGUGACAGGAAGCGAACAUUAGUCCGUUCAACCAAACACCCUUUUCGAUCCAGCCGAUUCCGCGGCCCGACCCGAUUAACGGCUGCUUGUCUCACAAGCAAGUGCGAUCUCGGCAAAUCCGGCGGACCCUGGCCCUCUUCGAGAAUUUUCGCUAAAUCAUGUGUAAACCCGGGAAAAAAGUUGCAACAACUCGCGCACACGCACACGGAACGCAACCGACACCAUCCCCAAGAAAAGAAACGAACACCGCGUGCAUCACGAGUGACGUGUAGCGGGGCCGAGGCGGAGGCGCCUCCCGUCCCAAGCUUAACAGAGCAGGCGCCGCGCGAGUCAGAGGCUCAGAGCCCCCUUCCCUUCCAGAAGGUCGCCUCCCGCUACCGGUUUCCUCCUAUUUAUACGCCGCUCCCACCUCCCCAACCAACUAGCAGUUGCUUCCCUCCCUUUCUCCGAACCCCCAAUCGCAAAGAAAUCGAGCAGCGGACAAACGAACAUGCGGGCCAUGGCAGAGGACAGGCCGGGUGGCCGCCGCCAGGAGCGAGCCACCGCGGACCUUCCGAUUCCAAGAGACGACGGUGGCUCUGUGGCGUCCGACGACGAGGACUCCGACGGCGAGUUCGAGUUCCCCUUCGUGAGCCGGGAGCCGGCGGCGGCGGGCGGGGGCGCCGCGGCGGCGGACGAGCUCUUUGCGGGCGGCCGCAUCCGGGCGUUCUACCCGGUGUUCGGCCGGGUGCUGGACGACGCCGCCGCGGCGCCGGCGCCGAGCUCGAGGGCGCCGCUGGGGCGGCUGUUCCAGCUGGAGCAGGCGCGAACCUCCUCCGUCGCGUCCACGUCCUCCUCGUCGUCUUCGUCGUCGGCGUCGACGGCGGACGCUGAAGCGAGGCUCGACGGCGCGCCGCCCGACAGCUACUGCCUCUGGACGCCCGGGUCGUCGCCGGCGUCCUCGCCCUCGCGGCCGCCGCGGAAGAGCGGGUCGACGGGCUCCAUCGCGCGGUGGCGCCGCAUCGGGGAGCUCGUCGUCGGCCGCAGCCACAGUGACGGGAAGCAGAAAUUCCUCUUCCUCUCCGCGCCGCCGUCACCGGCCAGGGACAGGGACCACCACCAGUCCCCCGCCGGCUCCAAGUCGAAGCCGCCAGCGAAAGGAAGUAAAGCCGCAACCGCCGCCGCCGCCACCGAGCUCGACACGGUCGCCGCGGGGCGGCGGAUGUCGUACGGCGGCGGCAAGGCGUCCCCCGGGGGGCGGCGGACGUUCCUGCCGUACCGGCAGGACCUCGUGGGGCUGUUCGCCAACGCCCGUUCUGAGCCCCGACGCGCCGAACCGUCGCCGCCGUGGAGGACCCGUUCCAAACAGUGAGAUUCAAGUUUGAAUCCGGGAUUUGAAAUUUCAGACGAUUUGACCUGGUGAUCCCCUGCAACCCUUCUUUGUGAAGACCAGUUUUAGCAAUUUAGCAUACGUGUGGGGUUAAAGCGGCCAAGCAGGUCAAAAAGAACAAGUGUGAAAGUCAGACAAAGCAGGGGAAAUGUGAGCCUUCCUUUUCGGAUUCGUCGCGGCAAUGAGGUCCGAAGUCGGUGGCAGCCACUUGAAAUUUGUGAUGAAGGUGGUAGGCGAGUACAGUACUAUGGAGAAGUUGAAAAAAAGUUCGUAACUUUAUAUAUGUGACUUUGUACAUACGGUGUAUAUAGGGAGUCCUCCCCCUAAAGUUUAGCUCCUGUUAUAUCGAAUGUUUAGAUACUAAUUAGAAGUAUUAAAUAUAGACUAUUUACAAAACCCACUAUACAGAUGGAGGCUAAACGGCGAGACGAAUCUAUUAAGCCUAAUUAAUAAUUAGUUUUCGAAUAUUCGAUGUGACACGGACUAAAUUUUAGCUCGAGGAACUAAACUAAACGCCCGUGUAUAUUAGCGAAGAAUUCACCUUCCCUUGUUAGCAAUCCCUUCCAACCAGUUUUGAUUUUCAGCAAAGCAGGUCGCCAGCCCAGGCAGCAGCGCCAGCCGCGGACGCCUGAGAUCGCUGCCUUCGAGGCAAGUUUGGCAGGACUCAAAGCAAACAGGCCCAAGUUUUUUUUAAAAAAAAGCAAACAGGCCCAUGCAUCAUCCAACGGCUAUUUAAAAAAAAAAACCCCGAGAGAUCAGAAAAACUAACUGCGAUUUGACCGAUUUUCAGGCCUCAAUAUUAUGUUUGGUUCGUAUCAUAUCGGAUAUUUAGAUAAACUAAUUGCAUAAAUGAAGACUAAUUUGCGAGACGAAUCUAUUAAGCCUAAUUACGCCAUGAUUUAAUAAUGUAAUGCUACAGUAACAUGUGCUAAUGAUGGAUUAAUUAGAUUUAAUAGAUUCGUCUCACGAAUUAACCUCCAUAUGUGUAAUUAGUUUUAUAAUUAGCUCAUAUUUAGUCCUCCUAAUUAGUCUUCAAAUAUUCGAUGUGAUAUAAAUUUUAGUCCGGACUAAAGAUCAAACAUCCCCUUAUUUUUGCCCACUACAGAGCUGCUAACGCAGUAUGGUUUCAAUUACCAAAACUUUCCCCUUUUUUUUCACCUGAACAGAGAUCGUUUACCGAAUUCUUUUCAUCACCUAGCGUUUGAGUUGACCGCCUGCCCGCGCGCAGACCGUAAGUUGCCGGGAGCAGAGGGAAGACCGUAUGGAAGAGGGUCAAUGCGUUGCCGGUGCAGAGCCACUUGCUAACAGAGUACUCCUCCUCAUUACGUACUCCAGCUCUUAAUCACGCAAUUAGCCAAUAGCCACUCCACGAGCUUGUUGCGCGCAAGCUGGCAUGCAGACGUGCGCACGUACGCUUUGGACCGGUCAGCUUGGCGCUGACACUCCCAUCCGAUCCAACUACACAAGCAGAGCCUGUCCCUGGGUUGCAUUGCGUUCGGUAGUUUCAGUCAGAAUUCAGAUACAGGUUAGGUUUGUGGUAAGGUUUCGUUGUGGCUGGUGCCGGUAGAAACUCCAAAAUGACGGAAAGGGAGCAAGCUAGCUGCACCGGAAUUUUUACCAGGACCUGGCGUUAGUCAACCGAGUGAACGGGCGGAUUGCUAGAGAUCGGGGAUGACACGAUCGAGCUUUUAAUUCAGUGCCUUUUUCUCGCGCGCGUCAGAUCAAUCUCGCGGAUUGGUUCAACGGCGGGGACCUGUGGCUCCACGCGUUCGCACAGACAGUGCCUGCCUCGGACAGGAACACUGGUCGUCUCCCGCAUUUUACACCAGGACACCGGGGAGGCAGCAAACGCGUCAAAGCUAAUCCGGUAAUCCCUCGUCGUGCCAGUUCCCUUCUUGUGCAGUAAUAACUGGAGCAGCGAGUAUACGUACGAACUCGGUGCCACGCGAUGUGAGAGAUGUUCAGCUUUCAGACUCACCUAACUGCAACACUGUGUUUGGUGUGAUUAGUUGCAGGCUAUGUAAAAAAGGGGACAACUCGACGGUAAAAUACACAAGUCAACAACUAAAUUUUGCGAGUUAGUUCUUGCGUCUUGACCGACACAGGUCAGCCGGUGUUGUUUUUAACCUCCCAACCGGGAGGGUGUCGAAACAGCUAAUGUGGGCGAACAACACUCGUCGGAGCACGUAAAACAAAAUGCCCGGACUGAGCAUCCGACUCACCACAUCUUGACCUUUUUAAUCUCGACGGAGCUAUCCCAUGUCUUGUUGGGGAAUGAGCAUGUGCGCUUUCACCUACCUCCUACUGCAUUUUUGUGUUCCUUGAGGAUGGAGCAGUCCACGACAUAUUUGAACUUCCUUCUUGUCCUGACCUGCAUAACCUAACACAGCAGACGUAUGCACCAGGUUACUCUGGGCUGAUUGGUUCGCAGCACGCCCCCUCGUCCAGACUCCACGCGUGCGAUCUUAGCUUGAUUGGUUAGGUAUUGGGCUUGAUCCGCAGCAUGCAAAAAGUUCCCCGAGCCUGACUUCCAGGGUGCAGCUAGAACCUUCGUCUCCUUGGAGCCUGGCUGGCUGGAUGCGGCGUCGAACACGCGGGUAAGCGCAUGUAAGAGAAAAAUAGGUACAUACAUGUAACCAAUCAAAAUCUCCCUAUAACCUGACUGACACGAACCAAGCAACCAAUCAUACACCUCUUGUGCGCAAUAAGCCUGUCCUAGCCGGCCUGGCUCCCUCGUACGAGGUGGGCUACGCUGAGAAGAGAAUCAAUCAAACCCUCUGAAAUCUGAGCACUGGUCGGGGAAGGAGCGGUGUUGGAGAGCUGCCGGACGAGAAGUGACAGCAGUGGAUUCUUAAUUCCUUGGUCUUACGUCGCUGUUUCGGUUGUUUAUGGAUUUGACGUUAGUCACAAGUACAUUUUAAACUGGAAGCACUCACUAGAGCAAACCCUAUUUAUCAAGUCGUCAGCCGAAGUUACAGUUGCCAAUCUAGUUUGGGCCGGUUUGGGGUUGAACUCAACUACAUUGGGCUUUUCUAGGCCUUCAGUGGGUUGGGCUAUACUCCAGGGGAAAAAAAACAAAAAUGAGUGGGAAUACUAAAGCCCUUAUGCACAUCAGCAUGGUGUCCUUUUCGCAGUUGUGUACUUGACAAAAAUCAUUUUUUAAACGAUGUACUUGACAAAAUCUUGCAGUUUCUAUAAUGUUUAUGCCUCUUCUUGCUUCUGCCCAGCAGUUCCUUCAUUGUAAGUUUUUCGAGAUGAAUUGUUUAGAAGUUCACCUCAAAACCAAGAGCUCUUUUAUACUCUCUCUAUUUCAUAGAUCGUUUUGGUUUUCCUAAUUUCAUACGUUUUGCUAUGUAUCUAGACAUAACCUAUAGGUAGAUGCAUAGAAAAAAAUCUGUAUCUAGAAAAGCUAAAAUGACCUACAAUUUGGGAUAGAGGGAGUAGUUGUUUAUAGGUACCAACAUUUACUUUGAGGUACUUUUUUCUCCUUUUUUCACUCUUGAUUUGGAAAAGACAAUUAAAAAAAUUAAAUUUAUGGCUCCCCACACAUUGUGUGUGGUGGUCGGCGACACCGAGAAGACAUUCAUCCUUCUUGAUCCUGUCAUCCAAGGCUCAUGGAGGAUCUCGACAUGGUAUCAAAAUCCAACCCCACCCACCACCACCACCACCAUCAUCAUCACCAAUCGCUGACCUCACCUUUUCUCCUAGUCCCCUCUGAUUGGGCGCGGUGUUGACCUCCACCUCCACAGGUUGAGGCCCCUCUUCAUACUAAUCUGAGAUUAGGCUCAAGUGACACGCUUGUUCCAAAUUUGGCGAUCAAUUUUUGUUAUUUUAUAGUAGCCUACGUGGUGUAGUAGAUGCCUGACUUGGACCUGUCAGAUGUUAUUGCUCCUAAUCUAAGGGUGGAAUUAGCUUUUACUAACGAUAUGUCAUAUCCUUUUGCAGUGCAGUUUGAUGCUAUCCUCAGUCAUCUCAAAUCAUUAAGCAGUGGUUAUUUUUUUACCAACAAAUGUUGGUAACAUGAAUUUUAACUGUUUCAAAAUCACAAUUCAUAUAGAAUUCAUAAUCUUUGAUUUGUUUUGAGAGCUCAGUCUACCAUGCUUAGAAUGAGCUAUUUUGUCAUCACACUCUGUUGUACGGCCUAGUUGAAUGAGCUAGACGCGGCAAGUUAGCAACUUUGAAGCUUCUGGAAUGUGAGAUCCUAUAUGCUAAUCCACAUUAUUUAUCUUUUGCAAGCAAACAAGUACAGGGGACCAUACCUUUCUAAUAUGUGCUAUGUUGUAAUUAUAAUGUUAGUUUCAUCAUGAUUUGUGAAUUGUUGAUUGAGAUGGCACAUUUUCACUUAUUUAUCAUGCAUAAUGUAUUGCAUUUUUUUUACUAUUUUUGUAUAUAGGGUAACGUGAUCGGAGUACGUAAUUGGUCAAAUAACACUUUUUGGUUGAGAACUAUGAAAAUUGGUUAAAUUUGAAAAUGUUGAGGAAAUAGCAAGAGUUAGUUAGCCAUUUACUGUCAGGCCAAUAUUGGGACAGUAUAGGCACUUGUUUCAGUUAAGUCACUCUAGUUUAACAUCUCAAUUCAGAGUUAUUUUAUUUUCCAUACUAUGUUAAUUUCUUUUUUCUACCUCUUUGUAUCUUCUAAUGACUUAGGUAUGUGUACUUAUAAUUUUGAGGAAAGUAGAGAAUUGUUAAACCAAAGCGUAAAAUAUAAACUCCAAAAGUUUGCAUUAUAUGCAAUUAGACCAUAUUACUGAAAUAAUAAUCCUUGCUCCGUUACUGCAUUUUACUGGUGAAUUUUGUCAUGGUAUCCGUUGCGCCUGGUUGUUUGGUUGGGUGUUGACGGUCGUUAAGUACCAAAUAUGACCGUCAAUAUACUCAAGAAUAAAGGAGGGUUGACAUUUCUUACAUGCAUAUUUGGUUUUGAAUAAUGUAGUUCCACUUGUCCUUAGAGAUUAUUUGAUUGUAGGUGAAAUAAUAUAAAAGGAUGGAGAAAGCACUGGAUCCAAGAAGCGCGCUUCCAACCAAUAGGAGGUUGCCACAUGUGCCUCCCAUGGAUUGAAGGGCCCACAAACUACCACAACUGUCUCAAUCCACCGGAUAACGCACGCAACCGUCAUUGGGAUCCACCAGGCAGUCACCUGGAGAAAGGCGGUUGCAAGAAGGACCCACAUGGGGUCGGCCAAACCAGGGGUUCAGCCGAACCGCCAUUGGCUCCUCUUGCCUCCAGCCUUCACGUGGCAACGAUUGACAGGCCCCCUAUGUCGAUUAUGGGAUAUUCCUCGAAGAUUCCCUGCCAGAGCCGCCUCUUGGAGCCUAUAAAUAUAAGGGUAGGGGCUCCAUUCUAGGACACACACCACAAGUGAAUCAUUUUAUCCCUCUUAGCUUCCAAGUUAGUGGAGUUAGGCUAGAGUAGCUCUCCUUCAGGUUCUAGGUCUCCUUGGAGUCUAGAGUAUAACUCUUGUAUCUUUUAUUCCUAGGUUGACAUUAUUCUAUUCAAAGUAUACAUAUUCUUUAUAUAGUAUUGUCCUUGGUUCUUAUAUGCAUGAGUUAGAGAUAUACGCUCAUAUGUUGGUCGUAUACCUUGCUAUCAUAGUAUAGGCUUAUAUACUCUCAUGUAUGCCUUGAGACCAUGCUUCAGUACAUACUCUGUGUGGGGACCGUCCCUCAGGUGUCCCCACUUAAGCAAUACAGUGCCAUUUCCUGGACCAGAAUCCAGCACCAGCAUUAAUCGGAAUGUUUAUCAAAGUAAGAGGGGAGAAAAUAGAAGGGUUAUGAUGGUGUCAUCUUCACCUUUAAGGAGUAAGCAGGAAGCAAUCAAUGCACAAUGGAAAGAUGAAAGCUGGCUCCCUAGAAGACCUGACAAAACAAGCAAGAUUGAGUACUUUUGCCAAAAAUACUCAGCAAGUAUCUUAACGUUGAAAAGUUAAUGACAUGUAAGGUAAAUCAAGGUAAGAUUGGAGUUUUUAUACAGAAAGUUAUUUGUAUGCAAGGUGUAACACCGUUGGGGCUUUUUAAAAGGAAGUUGUUAUUAUGAUAAUGUUAUUUUAAGGGGUUAUGAAACUAUCUGGGUAAAUUUUAGUAUUCAAAAUAGAGGAUAAAAGCAUGAUCAAGGGUUGGUGUCAAGACUUGCCUUGCUUGUUGAGCGACGAAACCGAAUCGUUAAAUGGAUGGCUACCUCCGAGGAGAACUUAACUUACUAGUAAACAAAGAAAUAAACAUGCAACCAAUCACCUCAAAGUUAUCCAAAGCUCAACAGAAGGGUUUUAAGAAGGGUUGUGAAGGGGGUGGGGCUGUGGGAUAGGAUUUAGACGGCUUUCCUAAGUUUCUUGUGAUUUCCUAUAUGUCAUGUGAUUUCUCCUAUAUUUUAUGUGGGUUUCUUGAUGUGAGCGCAUGGGUUUGAGGAUGACUUGAUGGUGGUUUCUAUGCUAUGGGGUUUAAAUAUGUGCUAAGAAUUUCCUAAGCUCUUAGGAAUGAUUUGGAAGUUUGGCAUGAUUUCUAAUAUAAAGAAAAUAGGAUUUAUUAAGUGGCUUCCUAGUUUUGGGGGUUUAGGACAUAAGUUUGGGGAGGUGAACUCAUGAAUGUGUCUAGAAUAUAUUUCUAAUAUUUUUAGGAAUUUAUUUGAUAUUUGUUGAUGAUCGUUAAGUACCAAAUAUGACCAUCAAUAUACUCAUGAAUAAAGGAGGAUUGGCAUUUCUUACACGCAUAUUUGGUUUCGAAUAAUGUAGUUCCAGUUGUCCUUGGAGAAUAUUUGGUUGCAGGUGAAAUAACACAAAAGAAUGGAGAAAGCAACUAUACUCAUCAAUAUACUCAUCAAAACAUAUUUCAUAAUUUGCAUAAUAAUGAUGUUAGGUAAGAUUUUAGGAAAUUCCUAUAUGAUUGUUGUUCGAUAGAUGAGUUUGAGAGGAAAUUGGUAGAGUUCUUAGAGAUGAAUCAAGUUAUAAGUCAGGACAAUUGGUUGCAUUAAAUGUAUCAAAUGAGGAACCUAUGGUGUGCUGCAUAUUAGGAGUACAAUGUUUCUUAGGAUUGAGGAGCAACCAACGGAGCGAGAGCCUAAGCUCUAGACUUCAUAUGGACAUUGCUGUUAAAAUGUCAUUAUUUGACGUGCUACAACACUAUGAACAUUGCCUUGCAAUAUUGCGCAGAACUGAGGCGAAGUUUGACAUUGAAGUAUUGCAAUCCGUUCCAUUCAUAGAGCCAGAUGCUUCAAAUAUUGAUAACCACAUUGCCCAAGUGUUCACACCUAUGGUCUUUGACCUGGUCAAAUGGAGCAUACAUGCUGCCAGCAAAUGCAUUCUCCUUGAAUUACUAAAUGGAUGUGAUUUGAUUUUCGUACAUUGUGGUUAGGAAGAACAGUACAGAGACAAAUUUUAAGGUGCAUUGUGUAUUGAAGGAAGCCUCGCUGUUCUUGCCGUAAGCUGCAAUGCAAAGGCACACCAUGUUCGCACAUAUUCUAUGUUUUGAGAAUAUUGCGAGUAUAUUGACUUCCCAAGUGGUUGCAUGUAUAUUGACUUCCCAAGUGGUUGCAUUCCCAACAGGUGGAUGACGAGUGCAAAGUCAAGAUUUCCUCCAACUACAAAAAAAUAGCAUAUAUGAUUAGUCGAAAAGCCUGGAGAGGUACCGCGAGUUACGAAACUUGAGACAUGCAGCAUCCUUUAAGCCAUAUUGGCCUACUGAAUCAUAUGAGCGUAUGAAACAUGCUCGGCAAGGAGAAGCUAGGACCCAUCUAGUGGUAAAAAAAAAUGAAUGCAUAAGAUAUGGUCGCUACUUCCACAAAACAGCAAUUUGAUUAUAGAAAUGGGGAAAUAUUAUGGAUCUUGUGCAUGUGAAAGGCCGAGGUGGACUGAAGAAAAGACUGAAGGCAAUGAAGAAGAAAAGAUCAACAAUUAAAUGCAGUCGUUGUCAUCAGGAGGGUCACAAUUGGCGUACUUCAGGAUCACACAACAUUUUGAUUAAACCAUAUGGUGCUUCCCUCGCAAGGUCGAGGUAGUACAUUUUAUAACUCCAAUUUAAUCUAGCACACUCCAAAGUAUACACCAAGGGACACAUCUCCAGUUGGCAGGUUUCUUAAAAACAUACAUGUCCUUCCUCCGUGAUGUUUUUCGAGGUUAUAAAAAACUUCCACUUCCACCACAUGAACUCUAGUUUCCAUCACAAGAUCAUGAAUUACAACUAAUCAGCUCAAAAUUACAAAAGUAUAUGAAUAAUAAAUAUGUAGAAUUUCAAAUGUGCAUAUCAUGUGCCAUAUAAUUAAAUACCGGUUCUUCUUCCUCAGAAAAACGAUAAUGAAAAUAGGAUAGGGAGAUGAGGUGGGCCAACUAAGUUAAUUCAUAUACCACAUAUUAGAAUAUAUAUUUAACAUGUUCUCAUUCUAAAAUUUAAAGGGCCUCAUUAAAAACAAAUGAACCAUAAGUUCUUUAAGAAACUUAUUUAAAUAAGUUUUUCAACAAACUUGUUUGAAGAAUUAUGUUGGCAAACUUGUUUGAAGAAGUUUGUUUUACAAACUUGCACGAGGAAGAUUUCUAUGGAACUUUUGAAGAAAUUUUCAUGAAAAGUUAUGUUAUAAACUUUCUUAAGAAGUCGUCCUAAAACAGUCCUUCUGAUAAGUUCUCGAAAAAAUAUCUCCUAAAAGUUAUCAUGAGAAAUUGUUAUGGGAAGAUGCGGAGAACAAAAAAUAUCAAGAGAGGAAUUUGUCAUUGUUGUAGCGUUUGCCUUGUCUCCUGGGCUUGUUGUCCUAGUCAUGCUCUGUCUCGACCUGGACACCAAGCUCACCAUGUGUCUAUGGUGUCGCCAAAAUGAGCACAUCCUGUUAGCUUGUCAAUGCUCAAGUGUCAACCUUCCACGUACAUGUACGCCGUUCCCUUCCGUGCGCCAGGCAGCAUAAGUAAUGGCCCGUACGCAAGUUCUCAAGCUGGAGCUCUUCAGCUCCUUGCUAGGUCACUGGCAUGGUAUGGCUCGCGUGGGCGUGGCAAGCUGCGUUCAUCGGAACAGGAUCGACCGCGCGGCGGCAUGGAGCAGCCGUGCAACCGCAAAACUUCGGCUUGGAGUCCCUGCGACUAACGGGGGAAUAGAGAAUACGGUGGGUAUGGAGAAAGGUAAAUUUACACUUCAUUUCUACUAUAUAUGGCGUUCACUUCUUUUUCUCUCCCGUAGCUGUAGUAAGAGAGUGUGUAUAUGGCAUUCAACCGCAUCUUGGCGUGCCCAGAAUUGGAACCUGCAAGUUGGUGCUACAGCCAGAGUGCCAGUCUUUCACGACAGUCAUCCCCGGCCACCGCUACGGAUGCCCUGAGUGCGACUACGGAUGCAGAUGCGAAGGUCUGGCUGCAACUGCAACUGCGAUGCAACAUUCUCAAUCUUUCAGAGCGACAGGGCCAAAAGAAGUAAAGAACACCUCGAUGGAGCCUCAAGAUAAUGUCCACUCGGUCGAAGUUCCCAAAAGUGAACUGUACAUGGAACUCCCUCAAAUGCUGUUCUGACGAAAGAGAGUUCUCAACCCUAAGGCAGGCAAUACGCAAUUGUUGUGCUGAUCUCUCUAGCAAAGUUACCAGGCGUCUUGCUGCUGUACAGCGGGGCGCAUGGGAGCCUGGGCCCAAAUCCAGCACGGGCCAGCUCGCCGAAAACAAUGGAACAAAAAUGGCCCGUGUGAGUUCAAGAGCCACGCUCAACCUGGUGAUGGGCCGAAUGCUGAUAUGCCUUCUCCAUCCAGCGGGUUUUGUACCUUUUGUACCACGCACGACCCCAACCAAGUUAAGCAACAACACUAAGCCAACCUCCGUUACCCUGGCUCUUAGCUCAAAUGCUCAACACAGGAUGAAGCCAAGAGCUAGGAACAAACCGUGAGAGCUAUCUCUGGAUGAGUACUGGUGUAGACCCUGCUCGUUUUUUUUCCCAAAAAAAACAGAGAUAAAAACUUACGAAUUCUGCACCAGGCAAGCAGCGCUUCGCCGACGUGUCUCAACCUCCAGCACGUUGCUGCCUCUCGAACCAAGAUCACGCGUUCAAUCACCCCCUCGACACCACCUAACCACCACCCAACCAUCCGUCCCGGUGAUUAAUCAACGGCACAGCCACACCACACCUGCGCCGUCAGAGACCUGAACUCCGAUAGAUAUAUUUCACCGGCGCCAAGAAAAUAAACCCCCAUCACACGCUUGGCGCUCUGCGGCUGUGCCACCUGCAGCCCAAGCCGACCCAACGCCCCCCCUCGCCGCAGUCAGCAGCCUCACCAUUCACAUGCACAUCCAAGUAUCCAAUAGAUACAGACAUACAGUGAUCCACCACAACAGAUACAGACAUACAGAGAUCACCACAACCGCGAGUCAGCCACCCAGCGUUUCUCCUCGACGCCGCGCCUUUCGUUUUCGUUUCCGUUAAGCCCCGCCUGGCCGCGCGCGCUCCCGACAUCCCCCGUGUGGUCCAGGGCGCUGGUGUGCACACGGCGCGCGGCCGCCGGCCACACGGUGCCCCGGCGCGUUAUCCCGAGCCCUAUCCCAUCCCACCGUCCCCGCCGCCGAGCGAAGCGAGUGGCGCACUGGCGGAUGAGGCGCCGAGUGGCCCGGAUCCACCGGCCCAGGCGAGCCGCACACGUACGCCGGCGCCGCGCACCUGUCGGCACGCGGGCGCGGCGCAUCUAUUUCUCGAGAGCGCGCGUAUAAGGAGGCGGCACGGAGCAAGGGGCACUCUCACAGACGAAUGUCUACUUGCUUCGCUGGGUUGAGCAUCGUCGCAAGCCUCGGCACCCCCAAGCCGUCCUCCGCCUCCGCACGCCCCAGGCUCAUCAGGAACGCGCCCGUCUUCGCCGCCGCCACCGCCGUCGUGGUACGUACGUGCAUGCAUCGAUCAAUAAUGCAUGGGCAUGGGCUCACUACUGUACCGCACUGCACCGACCACAUUGUACAUGCAUGCAUGUCUAUCCACUUUCUCUUUUCAGUGACCAUGAGCCUGAGCUGUGUAACUAACAAGUUGGCACGUGUCCAUGUCCUUGCUAUUAUCGGCACGUCACACGGCUCUUCACGAAAUGCACUACUGCAAAAAGCAAAAGCCUCCCUUGUCCCUUCCCACAAUCUCGGAGGUUGGUAGCGUACAGACCAGGACUUUCUGAAACGAAACAGAAUCCAAGUGCCACGCGAGUGUGCAAAACGGACCACACGGUCAACUAAUGAUGCACCUUGCAUUGCCACCUUUGGUUAAUUCUUCAAGCUCAAACCACACUUUUCCUGCUACAGAAACAUACGUGUGCCAUUGCCCUCAAUAACAAUAGAUUUUUUCCUUAAAAAAUAAACGUUCGUGUCUUUUCCUAAGAGCAUGGAGGCGCCGCACUGUUCCGUUGUACCAAGAGCCAAUAACAAGGCCCAGUCUGCAAAUGCGGCACGCCAUAACCCAUAACCUCAUGUUCUACCCCUCCGUUUCUAUUUAUAAGGCAUGACAUAACUUAGCACAGUCUUCCAAAUUACACUUUGACCAUUCAUUUAUCUUAUAUCAUAUUAUUUAUGGUUAUAAACUUAUGAUCAUUGUAAAGUUUAUUUAAUUACGCAUCCAACCAUAUAAAUUUUAUAUUAUAAAAAUAAAAAAUUGGUAGUUAAAUUGCUAGUUAAAGGUUGUAAAGUUUGAAUCUAGAUAUGUGCAUGCCCCUUACACAUAAAAUUUCAUUUCAACCAAUCAUUGCAUAGUAGUAUAUACCAGGUCAUACUUUUUCUCCUGCUAAUCUAAUCAUUUCCCCGUCCACCAGUAGCAACAUCAACAUGCAUGUCAACCACUGCACCCCGCAAUAGAAUAGUCGGGAAGGGAGGGGGUUUCCAAAGAGGUGGCCAAUGAUGGUGCUAGUUUAAAGGCCACAGCUAGAUAGAUGCUUUGGAAAGAAUAUAUAUAAUUCCCCAAAAGUCUCAAGUUUCAGGGAAGAAAGAUGCAAGUACACUUGCUUAGGCGUGUAAUGGGUGGCCUUUUCCCUAAACAAAGCGAUAAGGUGGGGAGUAGGGUCGUCAGUGGACUCGUUGCAUGAUGAUAGCAACUCCACACAAAACAGUUAAACAGAAGAUGUGGAGAGCUAGCCCCCAUCCGUCUUUUGGCUUUUCAGUUCCGUUUUGAACCAUCACGCAUCAAGAAAUCCAAUAACCGACCAUCUAUCAAUUUAAGCUUUAUAGUGCGCGUCAACGUUAGCUUUUUCUCUUUAGUAACGCCCAUGAUUUCCCGCGUUGCUUUUGCUCACUGUUGAGUUUUUUGCAGACAGAGCAACGAACUACCCACCAAGAGAUUCCUUGCAACUUCACAAAAGAAAAAAAAAAUCUUCCUUUUCAUCAGUAUCUGGGAGGGGGGAAAGAACUUUGCUACGUAUUGAACCGGUGGAAAAAAAAAGGUUACAGUUCUCUGUGGUAAACUGGCAGUACUUAGUACUAGUAGUAACCAAGUUUGUUAGCGCUAGGCAGUAGGAGGAGCCCAGAUUUUCGUUGCCUUCACCUCAUCACGCUGAUGCGAGGCGCACGGCUUGACACCGAUCGCACCAUGACUCGGGUGGUGCAUGCAGUCCAAACCUGUCGUAGGCUAUAGCGGCUGCCAUUAGAUAUGCACUAGAUACACGCGAAAAGGAAAUAGUAGAAUAGCUAGCCCCAAAGGGAACCUCAUCCCUUCGAUGGUUGAGCAAGCAACCGUUGCAUGUGGAGUAUAUUUAAAAGUUCACGAUUAGUGCUAGUGGUUCCUCAUUAGUAGACCGUCAUGAUGAUCGAUGAGUAAGCACGGCAGCCUAACAUACCGGAUUAGGAGGGCGCAUCAGGGGGACAAGGUCUCGAUGAGCUGAGCUCGACUGCAAGAUCAGUCUCCAAUAAUUUAGGAGCUGGUCCGUGGUCCGGGCGGUUGGCACUGGUGAAGGGAGUAAUUUAGGCGAGCCGAUAAGGAAGAUUCGGUCCCCAAGGCCGUGCCAUUGGUGCCCCGUCGUCCGGCGAUGCGACGAGCUAAAACGACCUCUUCUCUGAGAGUGAUUACCCCAUGGGGAAGUAGAGUAGCAGCCCCGUAGGCAGGCAGAUGGCAGUCUGGCAGAUCUGGGUGAGUGGGCAUCGAGAUUCCUUGGUUGUGGGAAACAACCCCUGGGGAAACGUUUUCUCGAUCGGGGUGUGGGGGAGGCAGCAAAAAGGAAAGGUUCCCGCAGCCAGCAACCUGGCCGUGGCCGGCGCCACUUGUGCUUUCGCUCUCCGUACCCGCAGCUGUGCCUCCCAUCGCAGAGCGUCAUCUGCCCAGUAGCAUAUGGUCAACUGGUCCCUCCAGCCUUGGCCUCAGCAGAUGACGAGUGCCCGUUUACCUCUUGAGCUCCUGGCCGAACUUUUCAGUCCGAAUGACUCUUGGGGUUGCCUGACCUUUUUCGUACACCAAUAAACAUUUUUUCUUCUAGAGCACCUGAUUUCAUCGGCUCAACUCAAAAGCAGAGUUGAGCACACGCGUCCGCGUCACAUACAGAUCACGGGCGCCUAAGAAUUAAUUCAACGACAAAAAGGGGAUAAGGCUGUUGCCGUUCCGUCCACAGAAGCCGCACUCACUCCCCCAUUACCAUUACUACUGCUGAUUUUUCUCCUGCACGCUCUCGCUCACGCUAUUAUUGCACGUGUCAUGUUGCUAGUAAGCCGACGAACGAGAAGCUCAUCAAAAAGUCAGACGAGAGAGAGGCGAGGAGUAGUAGCAUCCAAGCCGGCCGGCCAUAGGAAGAGGAGAAGAUGAGCGGGUGCCUUUGCCUCCCUAAAAAGAAGGAGGGGGUCUCCGCAGCGAAGCAGUCCAUAAAUUCCCCCGCCUCGUCACUCCUCCAGAACCAGAAGCCCACCCAACCUCCACCUCCUCCUUCCAAGAAGGUCCGUUCCCCUCCUCCCUUCUCCGUCCUUCCUCCUGCAGUAAUCCCCAUCCAUCCGUCACUCUUCUUUUUCCUCUCUUGCCCCCAUCGCUCAGUAGCACAGCGGCUGCAGCUGCCCUUUUCUUCACCCCCUUUGUGCUGCUGCAAAGCAGAUCCCUGCAUGGCUGCAUCCCUAUCCCCAUUUUAGAUCACCUUUGCGCAUGCUCCCUUGUGGUCUGUGCGCAAGGAGGCCAGAAAAUUUCUUCUUGUCCCUGUCCCUCUCCCUCUCUCCCUCUCUCUCUCUCUCUCUCGAACUGCAUCACCAGCAUACAGGGUAGUGCCUUGGUGGGGAUGGCUAACUGACGAUUUGUGUCUGAUCUUUGGUUGCAGGGCAUGGACGCCGUCGAGCGCUUGAAGAGCGGGUUUGACAAGUUCAAGACCGAUGUCUAUGAGUAAGUCACCAUCAAUUGCCCCGCGUUCGAUUUCAGUUUCAUGGCGCUUGAUUUGCUUCGAGAAUUUUGGGACCUCCCACUGACGACCCUGCUUUGCCCCCCGUGGAAUUUCCUCCUCGCAGCAAGAAGCCGGAGCUGUUCGAGCCGCUCAAGGAGGGCCAGGCACCCAGGGUAUGUGCUUCCUUCUCCGCCCUAUCUCAUCACCCUUGUAGACUGCUAAGAUUUUUGUCUGGAGCGGCUCCGGCCGGCUGGAAUCCUCGUCAGAAAUCAUGGAAAGCUUAAUUUAGCCAAACCGCGUUCAGUAACUUGGGUUCCCGUGGGGUCCGGGCAACGCCUGGUUGGCUGGCCCACAGAUUUGGUAGUACCUAGUACGUCCUGGUUGCCCAGGCGUCCAGUUAGAAGCAAGCUCUGAACAGUGUCGCUGGUACUAGCUCACCAUCAGGAUCCCUGCAUUACAUUCUCGUUUGCAUCUCCCAGGCAACCCUGCUGCCAUCCGUUACUGUUUCAUUUGCCGAGGUCAGAGUCGUGGUAGACAAGCGGAAACGGCUUGUCCUAAUUGCAUGACUUAACACUGACGGGGACAGCUUGUCUCCAUUAGCGGCCAGUGGCCCGUGAUCAGGUUGGAGAAACUGAAACUGUUCUUGUUGGACGAGCCUGCUCCACGGGGCACAGCCUUUUCAACUGUGCAGAGAGAGAUUGUAGUGGAUAGCAACCACCCAGGCACUAAAACAUGCGCACGGCGAGUGCAUCCCCAUGUGCAGGCCAUGUUGGUGAUUUGGGCGUUGGCCUUGUAAAUUAUUGAGAGAGAUGUCGCCGUCCCUGUAUAGGCUCACUUUCUGGACUGGUGGUGGGUGAUGAUGGAUAUAGUAUAGUCUUAUUUCCUUCUCGUUCCUAGUAUAAACCUGCUGCCAGAAUCUCGCAAGUACAGAGUUUUAUUGUUUUCUUUAUGGGGGUUCUUGGCUGGCAUCGAUCCCAUGCGCCUAAUUACUCCAUGCAUGCUGUAGUUAGCUGGUUCCAGGCCCAAGUAGUCUAGUAAUUUUAUUUGCAAAAAAAAGUGGUUGGCGUCUUAAUCGGUCUGUGGGAAACUAAGAACUAGCAACUAGCCGUGUUGAAUUCAAAGUUCAGACUAGUUGAAUUUUGUCAAGGUCUCCUGCAUCGUUUUUUUUUUUUUUUUGGGGGGGGGGGGGGGGGGGGGGGGGGGGGGGGGAGUAUAGUGCUCUAGUCCAUCAUUACACUAUAUGGUGGUGGUGAGUAGGCAUUUCAGAUGUCUCAUCGUUUUGAAAGUUCUUUUUGACGCUGCACAAAUCAUACACUAAAAAGUGACGUGAGCUCCAAGUUUCCAUGGCUAUGAAUAGAAUGGAAAUGCAAGGUGAGCCAUGCCCACAUAGACAGGUGAUAGGUCCAGGAUCCCAUCAUUCCAUGGCUAAACGUGUGGUCCAGCCAUGAUUGAGCACAGGCCCUACCUGGCAGCUAGCAACCUGUCCUGUGGCUGUGGCGCACUGGUUCCUCACCUCAUAGAAUUCGUUCUUCAUCAGCAUGUAGAAGAGUAGUUGGUUUGAGCGUGUCCUCUAUUCCCAGCCAUUGCGAAAAGUUAGGGGCAUAAACAUUGGCCAGUGCAUGUUGCUUUAGCCUUCAGAACAUUUGUGUAUUCGCAUCCAUAUCUCACUGGCCAUGCUGAUCCUUGAAAUAUAUGCUAUACUAGACACGUCUCAAAGUGUAUAAAGAGCAGAAGAUGAUUGCAUCACGCCAUGCCCCUUGCCCCCUUUCCAAACCCUGGCCUCCCAAGUGUGAGCUAAUCCAAAUAGGAACGAGGUUCCUUUUCCUAAUCAUCCAUGGACAUCGUGUCCGUCCAUCCAUUGUGGCUGCUCUUGUCACCAAGCUCAAUCUGCAGUGUGGAUUUGGCAGUUUUGAUCCGGCCUUUUGCAUGCAAAUUGUUCUCGGUUCAUGCAUGCAGGCUCGCCUUUUGCGUGUCAACUUGCCCGGAAAUAUUCUUGCUUUACGCUUGCGGCUUCCUCGCCGGGAAUGGGAUCACGUUUUGUUUCUGGCCCGUUGAUCGCCCCGGGAGCCACAUGAAAGUCGGCGUAGAAUAUCCUCGUUUCGAGUAGUAGCAGGGAACCUUCCUGCUUGGCUUUUGUCCAUCCUGCCCCCCUGGUAAAAAGUGGCUCGGAACAGAGACAACCAGGAAAUUUUUCAAAAACAGAGACAGCCAGGUCAAAAGCGGUAGCCUUUUUCGAGCGCAGUGGUACCAGCAUGCAAUCCAGCAGAGCCACCAGAAUCGUGUACUCCACCGAUCAGCGCCGAUCUGCCUACCUGCUUAUCGAUAAGAGCCGUGGGGGGCGUGAGAUGUCCAUUAGCGAUAAGACUGAUUAAGCGUGCUCUUUUCGUUAACCUGAUGCUUGAUUUUUCUUCUCUUUUGUUAAUGAUGCUGAUUUCCCCCUUUUGUCAACGCUAUGCUGCAGUACAUGGUGUUUGCCUGCUCCGACUCCCGUUGCUGCCCGUCGGUGACCCUGGGCCUGCAGCCCGGCGAGGCCUUCACCGUCCGCAACAUCGCCGCCAUGGUCCCACCUUACGACAAGGUAAACACUGUCUGACUGACUGACGCAUGGACAUCUGUGUUUUUUCUUUUGUUUGGCCGGCCAUGACCACUGGUGUGUCUUUGCCUGUCGACUGCUGCGUGCGCAGACCAAGUACACCGGCAUUGGGUCCGCCAUCGAGUACGCCGUCUGCGCCCUCAAGGUGGAGGUCCUCACCGUCAUCGGCCACAGCCGCUGCGGUGGCAUCAAGGCGCUCCUCUCCAUGAAGGACGGCGCACCUGACAACUUGUAAGUAACGGUGGAAUUAAGUUACAGCUUUGGAUCGAGGAACCUAUCCUGCAGCUUGGUGUUUCUGACUCGAGUACUAUCUCUUUAAUCAGCCACUUCGUCGAGGACUGGGUCAGGAUCGGCUUCCUCGCCAAGAAGAAGGUGCUGACCAACCAUGCCUCGGUUCCGUUCGAUGACCAGUGCACCCUCUUGGAGAAGGUAUGUUUGAGCUACUCAAUUACCAUGGCGAUCUUACUUUCCCAUACAGUAGCAGUGUUUGCAGUGCCAAUUGCAUCUACACGUGUGUACUGCCUGGUCUGCAUGAAUAUCGAAUUGGUUUGCUCAUGAAAGGAUCCUGCAUUUCUGAAUAUUUUUGCAGGAGGCCGUCAACGUGUCCCUCUACAACCUCCUGACCUACCCCUGGGUGAAGGAAGGUGUGGCCAACGGGACACUCAAGCUGGUCGGCGGCCACUACGACUUCGUCAACGGGGUGUUCUCCGUGUGGGAGAAAUAAGCCACCCGGUUUAUUCAUCAUACAUACAUACCGAAAUAAUGCAUCCAAUCGAUGUGAAUGCAUGAGUACUUACUACCUAUUUUCGGCCGCUACAUAUAUAUCAGAUCGGCCGAUGUGAAUGUAAUAAGAUAUAGCAUUUUCUACCGCUUUACGACUUCUAUGUACUAUAUGAUGCGUAAUUUGGCCGCCUUGUGGUCAAAAGACAUCAGCUAUGUAUAAGCCGUUUUACUACCAUGGCUAUGUAUAAUUUCAUAAUAUUUUCGUCAAGAGUUUACCUUUUACUACCCCUUCAUGUUGGCUUCUUUGUCUGUCCCCUUCCUGGUUGCUGAUGCAGUAUUUUUAUGUGAUAACAAGAAUAAUUUUGUAUGCAUUAGUAGCUUAACUCAAGAUAUUAUAUAUUCCUCGGUAGAGGGAGUAUCAUUAUGACUACACUUUAUGCUGGAAAAUGCACGUCUUGAAGAAGAAAGUCAAUAUUACAAUGUAAAGGAACGGUAAACUAGAAUAAUGCCAUAGUUUUCCCCCUCCUCCUUUCCUUUUAAGGCUAAAAGCCUUAACCACUGUACAUACAUUCUUUUUCACAUGUAUAUACAAAAAUAUGAAUAGGGGCCUCUCCUGCCGUUCCCUAAAAAAAAUGAUCCUAAAUAAUAACUAAGCUGCUUCAUUACUUCAAAAAAACUUCUUCAGACAUUUCUUAAUGCAAAAUCAUUAAGAACAAUAUCAAGAUCAAUGCUAUACAUGAAAGUAAAUAAUUGUUACUGGAUUUCAAUGUCUAAAACUAAAGAUCUAACAUACUAAAUGAAUGAUUAAUGAAUUAACAAAUAAGUCAAUAAUUCACGCGCGAUGAUGGACGACAAUUCGGCGUCAGAUGUACUUGAUGUUGCCGGCGUUGAGUCGAGGAUGAGAUUGAUGUGUUGAUCGCUGACGCCUGAGCCGCGUAGGGCUUGCAGAUUGGGCCUCAAGGGGUCGGGCUGUCGGGGAUAGCAGAUUCGUUGUGAGCUGUGAUUGUGACACAGUCACGCAGAACGGCCGCCACCCGGCCCCCUCGUCUCCUCGAUUGCGGCGGCGAAUAGACGAAAGAGGAUUCAUCUUCGUGCGCAUGCCUCCUGACUGCCUGCAUGCUGAGAGCGCUGCGCGGCCGGACUCUCCAGCCUAGAGGCCUGCUCAACAGGGGUCUUUUUUUUUUUCAGCAAGUUACCGAGGGGUAUCCUGAGGUAGUAGAUUGGUUGGUAGGGGAUCGUCGGAUCUGAAACUCGAACGUAAAAGUGAGGACACAACACACCGAUUUAUACAGGUUUGGCCGCCAAAGUAGUGUAAUACCCUACGUUCUAUUUGGGGUGUUGUAUAUUGCGCCCUACGUUUGAGUAUUGUUUGGUGUUGAGGAUUUUGUCCUCUGUUGUGGUUCUAUGAGCUCUUCGCCUACCGAUCUAGGAACCCCUACCCUCCUUUAUAUAAUCCAGGGGGGAUUACUAGUCGGUUAUAAGGAAGAGUCCUAGUAGGAUUACAGCGUAUGAGUCUUAGUAGGAUUAUAGGGGAAUCCUAAUAGGAGUCCGUCUUCUUCCUUCCUUGCGGGUACUGGGGAUUUAUCCUCGACAAGCUCCCGAGCGCUUCAUAGUCAAAUGCAGUAGUCUUCGAGUACUUUUCAGAUCCUCGCUGAGUAGUUUUAGUGCUCCUCAAGUACUUUAUCUGGUUAAAUCUUCAAAGUUCCUCAAAACUGUCAUGAGUCUAUGGGUUGCUCAAGCCCUUGAUCGACUUGAUUUUAUAAUCUUCAUUGUGACAUGUAGGGCGGCGAAAGUUGCACUCCAUAUGAAGUAGCCCCUGAGCCUUAGGUUAAAUCGAAAAAGUAGGCUGAAGGUUAAUAAAAUCUUAAAUCUUCUUCUUUCAUCUUGAAAAAUCAACUGUUAGGUGUAGCUUAUCAGCCCCCGAGCCUUGAAAUGAUUAAAUAAUUAAUUCAAGGGUCUUUAGUCUUCACGCAAGUCGUCUUUCGAGUAGUCAUUUGGUGUCCAGCCCCCAAGCUUAUGUGCCAAGUAAGCCAUAGGAGCCACGUCGAUUAGUUAUUUGGCGCUUAGGCUCCGAGCUUGGAAACUAGUUGAGCCAUUGAAGAUAUUUCGAGUAGUAAUUGGUGCUUAGCCCCCAAGCCUGGGAACCAUUGGAGGUACGGUGAACGUCCUAGAGAGUCGUCGUCGAAGUUUGACCUGCAAAAAGAGAUGCAUACAUUAUGUAGCAUAUUGUAGAAUUUGGAACUACUGAAAUUUAUUCAGUGAUGAAUAUAAUGUAAAUGUUGUGUGUCAUGUUCUUGUUUCGGCCAUAUUUUUCCCGAGUAGCUAUUCUAUUACGUUUAGGCUCUCAGUCCCUAUUUAACUAUUGCCACUGCGUGUGAGAUCUUUGUCUCCUGUACGUGUAUUGGCACUGCUGCUACGCGUUUGAAAUCUUUGUCCGUGUACGUGUCCUAGCGUUUAGGCAUGACAAAAGAUUCGAGAUUUUCACGAAUUAAGGCGUGUUCUGCUCGAGAAGAUUAACAACCGCUAAGACAAGACAUUUAAAAUAAGUAGUCGGUAUUGCAAUAAAAAAAUUGCAUGAUUGCGCGUAAAGUAGUCAUUGAGACUUUUCUACCUUUUUGGCGAGGAGAGCGCGUGUUUGCCGCAUAUAGAAUUUGUGCCUCACUAGGGUGUAGCCGUUGUGAGCCUCCAGCACUUAGUGCACCAAACUUCGUGGCAGAACCUCCUAAUUCAGUGUACCAAGCCUGUGGUGAAGCUUUCGGAACUCGGUGCACCAAACCCGUGGCGGUAGCCUACAUAAUUCGGUGUACCAAGCCCAUAGCUGUCGGGCAACAUGCCCCAGGAAUAAUUGGCAAGUGUAGCUCUGGAGGGUAAUUUCCGUCAAGAGUCGUACGCAAAAAAGUACUCAGCACGUUGCCCUGCAUGCGGAAAACAAUCCAGAAAAGUUAUAUGAAAUAAUUAAAAAAGUGACUUAGCUUGAUUUGUGGACGAUUGUCAACAAAGCCAUGUCGAUUGUUGAUGAAGCCAACUAGUCGGAGUCGAUUCCGACUAGUUGUUGAUCGCGUGGAACCCGCCCUCGACUAGUUUUGUAGUUGAGAUGAGUAGUUGAAGUAGACCGUCCUCGACUAGUUUUCUAGUCGAGACAAGUAGUCGAAGUAGUCGUCGGCGACUUGAUGCGGCCGGAUGUCGGGGUAGCGGUGCUCGCGUACGUCUUCUAUGUACGUUAGGUUAUGAUUUUGAGAUCUUGUGGUAGCCUUUCAUGUGCGUGUAGCACAAAUCCCUCAAAGUUGCUUUUCACGGAGAGUACUCGGAGCUGAUUAUUUGCCUCACUCUGCGCGUGAUUGUAACAGAUCUUUGUCAUUUGGGGAAUUAUGACGUGGGUCCCUCGAUCUGCCUAAUCUCUCAACUCGAAUCGGAUUUGCCUCUACCUUGAUCGAAGAGCCGCAUGCCUACGGCGGAAACCGACUCGGUUUUCGACUAGAACGCGGAGCGCAUCGAUUCUGUGUCGGCGUAGAUUUGUCUGGUCGGAACUCCAACUCGGCAAUUUACUUCCUGUUGUGUAGAUUGAUCUUGAUGAUGAGGUCCUUCAAGCUCGCCCGAUGAUCUCGACGAUCACCCCUACCUAGCGCGCCAAAUGUCGGUGUUUUAUACCCGGCAACAUACCAAGGGGUUUCCUGAGGUAGUAGAUUGGUUGGCGAGGGAUCGUCGGACCUGGAACGCGAAGGUAAAAACGAGGACACAAGACGCAGAUUUAUACAUGUUCAGGCCGCCAGAGUAGCGUAAUACCCUACGUCCUGUUUGGGGUGUUGUAUAUUGCGCUCUGCGCUUGGGUGUUGUUUGGUGUGGAGGAUUUGGUCAUCUGUUGUGGUUCUAUGAGGUAUUCGCCUAUCGAUCUAGGGACCCUGCCCUCCUUUAUAUACUUCAGGAGGCGGGAUUACUAGUCGGUUAUGAGGAGUCCUAGUAGGAUUACAGGGUAUGAGUUAUAAGAAGUCCUAAUAGGAUUAUAGGGUGUGAGUCAUAGUAGGAUUAUAUGAGAAUUCUAGUAGGAAUCCGGAUCUAUCCCGACACCCUCCUAGCAUGAGCCCCUCGCCGUGGCUUCUGAUGCAUAGGGCUAAAGCUGGGCCUUUGUGGGGCACGGCGAUGGCGUGGCUUUGAUGAAUCAAGGAAGCGGCGGAGGAUGGGUAGAAAUUCCAAUAUUUAACACCCAAUACGCUCUCACUGAAUUUGAUAACUAAUUUGUAGGCCUUUUAUUUGAAAUUUGACACCGGGCUACGAAUCUGGUGUUUCUCCUCCCUUUUGUCUUCACUUUUUUUAAGAAAAAUCAAACAAAGGUACUAAUAAUUUUUUUCAAGCUUACCAUUCCGGGAAAAAAAAAGGAAAAAUCUAGAGUGUCGUAUCCUGGGUACAUAGUUUACCUGUGCCUGCUGUUCAGUCCAGCCUACCGCUUUCCCUCUGCUCGUCCCCGCCGGCUCCGCCACCGGCACACGUCGCGACUCGCGAUCCCUGCCCACCGCGCCGUUUAUUACCCCAUCUCUCUCGAGUCUCCAUCAUGCUCCUUGUACUCGUUUCCCGGCAGCCGGAUGGCACCCCAGCCCCGGCGCCACGCGCGCCCGCGCCUGCCCGGAGCUCCCAUCAGCCGGAGGUCAAGGCGAAGGCUUGGACCUUUGGGAGCUCGGUGGGUUAGUGGUGUACGUGUGUACCUGUCCAUCUGUCCGGUACAAGAACACGUCCCGGUCUGGACUGGUUCGCCGUUUCACGCAUCCAUCCGUCCAGCUGCACGACCGUCGACCGCCCGAGGAGGGGAGCAGGCCGGAAAAGAAGGUGAGCCGCUGCUUCCCGUGCCUCCCCCUCCUAUAAAAGGACCCCCAGGGAGGCAUGGACGGGGCAGCAGCUCUACAGCGAACCAAGCCUUUCUUCUACAGUCUUCUCAAAUCCUCGAGAACCAGAGGUCCACCCACCUUCUCCUCCACCGCACAAAGGUCAAUCCCCCUCCCUCCUCCAUCCAUCCUCCAUGCAUCGGACCAUCUUCUUUUCCUUUAUAGGCUAGUCACUCACGAUUCGCAUGAUUCUCUCUCUCUCCUCCUCAAGAAAUCCCGCAUCAGGCGAUCCUGUUGUGGACGCAUGGUACGGUAGUGCUCACGACAUGAUCUGUGGUUCUUGCAGGCCAUGGCGGACGCCGUCGAGCGCUUGAAGACCGGGUUCGAGCAGUUCAAGGCCGAUGUCUACGAGUAAGUAAUCCGAGCCGCUAGCUAUUUUCUGAAGCCUUCUGCUCCAUGAUUCAUGCAUGGUGACGGUGCGGAGUGAAUUGACCUUCUGACGAUCUGUCUCCUGUCGGCAGCAAGAAGCCGGAGCUGUUCGAGCCGCUCAAGGCCCACCAGUCCCCCAAGGUAUGCGCUGUCAUGUCCUCCGAUAAUCCUUGUGGAGUAGCGAAAUGUUCCGUCCUGCGUGUUCUUGUUAUACUCGCCAGAAAUUUCCGAAGCUGUAGCCAGUUUCUGAAUCCGGUAGAUUUUGCAAAGUCUCGCGGGGAUCUGGAUUGGCAACCAUCUCCUAGUAUCACAUCGGGAAUCACGGGUCCCCAUUUGCCACCUACCCUGCCGUUGUCCGUUGAUCUAGCGGCCCUAUCCGCGUACAACGCCGGCGUGCGUGUGUGCACACAGCAUUUGGUCUGGGUCAAAGUUGACAAAAUGGGAAAGAAAAAAUAAGUGAUAGAAGUCUGCUCUAAUACGUAUGCUAGAAUAAAGAAGUUCAUAAAUAGUAGUAUAUAGCUAUACCAGCUGUAAGAAAUUAAGAACACUACAUAUAUGGCAUCUAAAUAUACUUAUAGAUGGACCAACAUAAAAAAAAAUAUCAGAUAGAUACGUAGUACUCCCUCUCCCCGUUCCAAAUUAUAAGUCGUUUUGGCUUUCUAGGUGCAUAGUUGCUAUGCACCUAGAUAUUGUGCAUGUCUAGAUGCAUAAUAAUAUAUAUGAAUCUAGAAAAGCCGAAAGGACCUAUAAUUUGGAAUUUGGAAACAUUUAAUCUUAUCUAGUUAAUUUAUACAUUUUUAAAUAAAGAAAAUGUUUCCAAAAAAAAGUUAGAAAUGCUUAGCCGAAAAUAAUCUUAAUUAAAUAGACAUGUUGUGAUGGGAGGAGUAGUAUAAAAGAACACAGUUUGAUGUGGACUCUAAACUGUAUGACUGGAAAUGUUGAAUGCUCCAAGUUGCGCCCCGAACUAAAGAUUCCAUACGUUUUCUAGCCACGGUCCAUCUUGUCUUCACUCGCAAGUAAAGUAGGCACGAACGAAAGGCCAGGCUCCUGUUGCUGUUAAUCAGCUCCUAUCACCCGCGUUUGCCCCUUUGGUGGGAGCUAGGAAGAGGCUGAGAGCAAUGGCCGUCAGGUCAAAAGUAGCAGCCUUUGUUUUCGUAUCGCACACGUACACACUCUACCGACGCUGAAUGUUCUUCUCUGCCGCUGAUGGUUGGCCUGCAGUACAUGGUGUUCGCCUGCUCCGACUCCCGCGUGUGCCCGUCGGUGACCCUGGGCCUGCAGCCCGGCGAGGCCUUCGCUGUCCGCAACAUCGCCAGCAUGGUCCCACCCUACGACAAGGUACGCUUCCGCACGGACACACGCCUGCUAAUUCUGCCACAUGUCGCCGCCACUUGGCGGGCAUCGACGCCGCCUCGACAGCUGACGUGUCACUGCCUGUCGACUGCUGCGUGCGCAGACCAAGUACGCCGGCGUCGGGUCCGCCAUCGAGUACGCCGUCUGCGCCCUCAAGGUGGAGGUCAUCGUCGUCAUCGGCCACAGCUGCUGCGGCGGGAUCAAGGCGCUCCUCUCGCUCCAGGACGGCGAGGCCGACAAGUUGUAAGCGACUGAAAAGAAGAUUCAGAAAACGAUGGCGUUGAAACUGAAUUAUAUGUGUAUCUUAUUGCAUCGUUAUUGUUUGACUCGAGCAUGUAUGUUCUCUCUGUUGUUUGAUUACCUGUUCAGCCACUUCGUCGAGGACUGGGUCAGGAUCGGCGCCCCCGCGAAGGCGAAGGUGCAGGCCGACCACGCCUCAGCUGCUUUCGAGGACCAAUGCUCCAUCUUGGAAAAGGUACGCUUUGAAUUGAAAGAUUUCUCUUGGAUCUUCAUCUUGAAGACUACGUAGCUCGAACGGAACGAUUUGCUCAUGGAGUGUUUUAUUGGAUUUCUGAAUACUUCAUCUUGCAGGAGGCCGUCAACGUGUCCCUUGAGAACCUCAAGACCUACCCGUUCGUCAAGGAAGGGCUGGAGAAGGGGACCCUCAAGCUGGUCGGCGGCCACUACGACUUCGUCUCCGGCAAGUUCGAGACAUGGGAACCCUAAGAGGCCAACCAGGCCAGUACACCAUAUACCUACAAAUAUGCUCCCGAUCGAUAUAUAUGACUGCGUGGAGCACAACUAAUUCGCCCCUAUACAGCCAUACCGUAUUGCUCUAUGUGGACUGUAAUAAGCGAUGCAAAUUUCUACCGUGGAGGAUUUAUUUGUUUUUUUUUUGUAAUGUAUGAUGCAUAAUUUGAUCGAUCUGUGGUCAAAAGACAUCAGCUAUAAUGAUCUUUUCAUUAAUAUUAUCAUGAAGAGAGAAAAUAGUUUACCUUUUUAUGCUACCUCUCUUGCUGUUCCCCAACUUUAAUUCUGACUCUUUCUUAAAUGUUGAUGACUUUUCUUUUGCCACGACGUGCUCUUGGGUUUAGCAAUUAUGUCCCUGAUUUCCACAGGAUGUAGCUGCCAACGUUGCAAUCCUGCUUUAUUGAAUAAAUCUCCUGCCAUUUGUCCUAAAAAAAAGUAUCUUUUUGGUUGAUUUGUUCAGAGAACACUGAAAACAACUUCAUACACUGCAUACGAAUCAAGAAACGUUAAAAACGAAAGCGAAAUACCAACAUCUUUGCAACAAGAUUUAUGAAACAAGACACAUACUUAAUAUGUUUUGAAGUUAUUUUAUACAAUUGUCAAUUUAUGUUGAUACCAGUUUAUUUACAAACUGUAUAUCAACUUAUAGCGUAUUUUGGAUGUAUCAAAUCCACUAGUUUAUCUAGAGGAAAAUAACGCAAGGACAAAUAGCAAGUUAUGCUACACAAUGCAAUAACUUGUACGUCUAUUACACCUUUAACUUCCACAACAAUUUCGUGUCAAUUUAUUAAUAUCAAAUUCGUAAAGAAUUUGUGACAACUUCUAUAUCCUUAAAACUUAUGCAACGAUAAUGCGACGACUUAUAUAGGGACAAUGUACCAAUUUAUGUAGAGAUAAUGUAGCGAUUUAUGUAGACACUUCAUAUACGUAAUAACAUCUUGUAAAAUUAUUUUUUAGCAAUUUAUUUAUAUAGUUUAUUAAUAAGUGACACAUGUGUAGCUACACACUUAAUACAUAUCUAACUACUGCACAUCAACAUAAGUUGCAAACACAUAAACACUUUUUUGAAAUAUAUGCAUCACGCAUAUAGUUUUAUAGAACUUAUCGCAAUGAAUAAGGUAGUGCAAACGGAAAUUCUAACAAGCACUCCAAGAUAAAAUUACCAUAUUUUAAAAAAUAUGAAUGCUUACUGAAAAACUCUAAUUUAGCAUCUCCACGCCGUGAUCCACUUCGACAUCUACCUCAGCCUAUGUGCAUGCUCAGUCCAAAUUGAAACAAAUUAUUGCGGAUCAAAUUAAUUGACAGUGGUGGUCCGUCAAAACCGGGUGCAUACCGUGCGGGGUCUGCUGGUUGGUAGCUUGGGUCAGGCCGCACGGCGUUGUGUGCUCCGUGGAUGCCUACCUGUCGCAUAGCCAUCUGUUGUGCGCAUAGGUAGGAGUGGAAUUCAACCCGGAAGCAAUUUGGCCCAUGAAGUGAAGAAGAAGCCGGCCCAUAUUCAUUGUUAACUGCUACUUUCACCUUUUGUGGAGGUAAAUGAGGUCCACUGUAAUAGACUUUUUCUUGUUUCCUUCCUCCUUCCUUUUUCCUUCUCUUUUUAUUUUUAUUUUUUCUAUCUUUUAUUUUCUUCUCAUUUUACUUUUAUUUUUGGUAAUAAUAACCUUUAUUACUUUUCUCAUAUUUAAUUUUUUAAAUCUACUUUUUCAUUUUUGCUUUUACUUUUUCGUUCUUAUUUUCUUUUCUUUUGGUAACACUAAGUUUUCCUUUUCUUUAUAAAAAAUUUUCUUUUAUUUUUCUAUAUAUUUAUCUUUUUUAUUUAUUUUUUCAUUUUAUUUCCCUUUUUUUCUUUUCAUUUCUGUACCACUAGCUAUGUCCUCCCUCCGUAUCAAAAUAUUUGUCGCUACUGAAUUUUUCUCACAACUUUUGACUAUUCUUAUUAUUCAAAAUUUAUUGCAAAUACGCGACAAGAUAAGUGAAGCUUAUAAUACAUUUGAUGGUAUUAUAAGUCACAAACAAAAUGAAUGAUACUUACAUAAUUUUUUGAAUAAGACAAAUGGUCAGCAACGAAUGGUAUUCGUAAUUUUACAUAAUGAAUGAGAAAGUCAGCAACCACAAAUAUUUCGAUACACAGGAAGUUUAUAAUUUUGUUCGUAUGUAAAAAAUAUUUUUCACGAUGUGUAUAAAAUUAUUUGUUCCCAUAUGGAGCCAUUUUAUAGAUUAAUUUAUUCAUGAUGUAGACUUAUUUAUUCAUUUUAUAGACUAAACUAAUCAAUUAUGUAGACUCAUAGAUUGUAUUAUCAUAUUUGUUCCAAGUGGACAAAGUUUUGUUCAGUGAGUUAAUAAUAAUUUGAUCAAGGUAUAUAAAUACUUAUUCUCUGAGUUUUCUACAAUUAUUUGAGGUAUAUAGAUCUUUUAUUUCAUCAUUUCAUAUAAUUUGUUUGAUGUAUAAAACUAUUUUGUUCCGCGAGUUCGUAUAAUUUAUUCCAUGUGUAUACAUAUUUAUUUUGUUAGUUUAUAUAAUCUGUUCAAUAUGUACAAUUAUUUUGUUCUUUAAGUUCGUCUCAGGCGUGCAUAUCUGAAAAAUUUGUCAACUUGAUGACUAUUUUGUGCGACACGGUUAAAGUUUUAAAUCUUUCAAUGUAAUAUACUAUUGUUUGUAUGUUUUUAUUCACAUCACAGAAUCAUUUAUUGUUGAUAUUUAAUAUUUUAUUUUUUAUAAUCAUUUGUUGAUCAUUUUGUUUCUACGAAAUAAUAGCUCAAUUAUUUGUUCAAUUAAUAUUUCAUAUUAAAAAAUAUUUUUAAAAAAAAUCAUCCAAAAAAAUAGUCAAUUGGGGUUUUAUUUUGAAGAUCCUACCCUAAUAAAUCUAUUGGUGUAAUCAGAAUUUAAUUUGGAUGUUUGGUUUGAGAUAUAUGAUUUUUUUUAGAUUUGAAACUGCUUGCAUGUGGUAUGCUGGUAUGAUGUCAUCGGUUUUGUAAUUUAUGCAUGCAUGCAACAGGAUGAAAACCAUAAUCGAAAUCUCAUUUACGUGGCACGUUUUCUAAUCAUUUCCGUAUAAGUGAUAUCAUUUCUGACCAUUACCGUAUUUAAAUAUGAAUUUUUAGGAUUUCUUUUAUUACUAGGUGUGUGCCCAUGCGUUGAUAUGGGCAUAACGAAUUUUCGCUAUGAGCAUUAAUAUCAUACAAAAUAUUUGUAAUGAUAUGGAGAUAGAUGCUGUUCUAUGUACAUAUUCCAAAAUAUGCAUACGAAUUACUAGGUAUCUUGCAUGUAAACACAAUAUAACUUGGUGGAAAUUCAUCAGCUUCCUUUCGCUCCACUUGGACUCCCUGUGCGCCUCUGUUGUCGGCCUGCUUCUAUCGCCUAGUCGCUGGUAAGGUAGUCUCACUGUAGCUUCACGUUGACGUGCUACCAGCGGCAACCUCCUCGACACCACAUCUUGCCACCAUAACAUCUGCAUCAUCGCCCCCUCCUAGCAUUUACUUAGAUCAUUAAGUCUGUUUCAUAUUAGAUCGACAAAUUCAUUCCAACAUGUUAGCAAUCUUAUUAGUAAGCACUCAAUAUUUUGCAAGCAUCAUGAUGGAAUGAAUUUAAUGCACGGCAUGAUCUGUUAUAGAAUGAAUUUAAUCUCCCUUUUUCAAAAGAUAGUGUCCCUUCUGAAUUAUAGGGAAGUCGUUGACCCUUUUAGUUACCAUUACCCAACUGGCAUGAAAUGAAUUUAGAGUUGUACCUUAAAAACCCAGCCCUAAAAUUUCUCUCUCUAACAUACCAGCUUUGGAAGUUUCAUCAACCUGCAAUACAUUAUAAAUACAUAAUGUGUGGCGUGUUUUUGGCACUCUAAAAAUCAGAACAUAAGCUCUUUUGUGGUCUAAGCUUGACAUGAUGCAUUAGAUAGGAGCAUGGCAGGAGCAGGGUGAAGAGCUAAUCCCAACGAUCAGCACACCACAAAUUCUCAAGCUGAAAAAUGCAAAAUAACUGAAAAAUAUGAGCUGUAUCCCCGGAAUUUUACAAAACUAGAACACCUAUAUAGUUCUAAGCACGAUUCUCCCAUCAGCUUAUCACCUUCUAUCUCGGCGUGGCAGGUCUCGUAGGCGCAAGGAAGGGAGCAUUGCAUCAGUAAAAGGAGUUGCAAGUGGAACUGGGUUACAUACGUGCAGACAGAUAACAAUAAGAAGGCCAUCCAUCAUACCUGCUGUGCAUCAUGAGCAACUUAAUCUCAGCAUGUCAAGAUUAUGCAGUGUUUUUAUGAAAAUCUGUGAGAGUGCAUCAUACACCUUUCAAUCGUAUUUCUUCUUCAGAAAAAUCUUAUAGGAGAAAUGUAUGCAGGAGUUUGCACGGUAGAUUGGCUGACAGUGUAACUGCAACGCAAAAAGGAGUUAUAAGCAAAGCGACAGUUUCAAGGAGACUUUCCCGCAAUAACAUUAUUGUUGCUACUGAAUAAUUAAAUAGUGAAAUCGGCAAAAUUCCCGAUCAAUUGCAAUAGUUUCCGUAGAUGUUUUCAUCCCAGGUCAUGCACUGGAACAGUGAGACUGUAGCAUGCGAUGGCUGUAUUUUUUUCAAGGAACAGGAGGGGUUACUGAUUAGAUAUAUAUUAAAAAAAUAAACUAAAUAAAGUUACAAAAUAACUUCUCCUAAGGGUCUGAAGAAAUAAAGAAAGAAACAAACUGGGCUGUAAUUUUGUUUCCUCUUGUAAUUGGUGGGCUGCUCAUCACAAUCUUUUCGGUGACAGUAGGCGGCAUGUAUACACGCCCCGCGCUCUCCAGGCAAGAGCGACUCCACGUGCUGUAACGUUUUCCAUUUUAGCCUCCCUUUGGCACGGCUCAUCGAGCAGCUUCUCAAGCGGCUUUUGAUGAAGCCGUGCCAAACGGCAUGAGCGAAAACGGCUUCAGGGGAGAAGCUCCCGAAAUCGCGCUGAGAUGAGCCAUCGCACGGUAUGAGAGCCAAAAAAAACUGGCUCCGAGAGCCAAAAAAAAUUGGCUCAUCACGGCUUCUCCUCCAUACAUGGACAUGCUGCCCCAAAGUACCCCUCCUCCUCGUACCUGGAGGGCGGCGGCGGCGACGCGCUCUCCUCCUCGUACCUGGAGGGCCAGGUCGGCGGGUUGGCGGCGGAGGGAGCCAGGGCGGUGGGGUGGCGGCAGAGGGGCGGUGGCGAAGGGAGCUGGGGCCGACGAGGUAGCAGCGGAGGGUCGGAGGAGGAGGGUCGGGGCGAAGGAGCGGGUGCCGUUCGGAUAAGGAGAGAGGAGGGGGGAAAGAAAAGAAGGGAAGAAGUCGAUCGGAUAAGGAGAGAGGAGGGGGAAAAAGAACAGGAGAAGGAAAAGAGAAAUAAAAAAGGAAAGAAAAAUGAUGAGAAAAUGAAAAUGAAAAGAGAAAAAAAUAUAAGGGUAGUUUGGAUAUUUGACAUCUCAUUUCCAAUCUAAAACGUUAGGAGAAGUUGUUUUGCCAAACGUUUUCCUACUAAAUAAGUCAGAGAAAAAAAGUUGAUUUUCCAAAUAAGGUAGAGUAACUAUUUUUUCACGUGUCAAAGUCGUGCCAAGCGGACCUAGAACCCACGUGGACGACGUCAUCGUCGAGGAAGGUGGGCCUCGGCCGAACCUAAGCCAGAUUCAUGCUUUCGUUCGUCGCUGCCCCGAUUUAAAGCUGCGGCGGGGCCUACGUGAUGAUCCUGAACUGAACUCGAAUCGCAAUCACCUUUUCAGUGCUUCGCAGUUCAUCCUCUACUCCUCUAGGGUUAAUAAAUUCCAAAUCGAAGCGAACAGGAAUACUACAGGAUAAGCUUCCCAUCCUGCCGAAUUCCAGCUCAUGAGUUCGGUUUCAUCCCGACCGAAACUGCAAGACCCUCUUCUCUUCCCCUGCGGUCCGCGGACAGUCCAACCCGAAUCAGGCAGAGGCAACGAGGCAUGAGCGCCCACCGCUCCAUCGAUCUAUCUAUCUAUCUCUCUCUCUCUCUCUCCCUCCUCGAGCGGCUCGCGAUCGGCGAUGGGGGGAUGCUGCUGCUGCUUCCUCGCUCACAAGCCGCCGCGGGAGAACCCGAUGCACUCGUCCCGGGAGCCGCUCAUCUGGAGCGGAUCGGGCGCUGCCGGCCACCACCACCACCCAGCUCAGAUGGUCACCUACAGCGAGGCCAGUCCCCGAUUGCUGCAAUUCUCGUGUCGCCCGGCAGCAUUGUGUUGUUUCCCUUUCCCCUUGUUGUCUGACGGCUGCUGCUGAUGCUGCUGUGUGCACUGCAGGGGUUGGGUGCUGCAGAGAGAUUGAGGGCUGGGUUCAGGACGUUUAAGAGGACUAUUUAUGAGUGAGUAUGAUCUGACGCUCGAGGAAUUCUGUUUCUGGGUUGAGUUUGUUCCUGAUUCAGUUCGUUCUUUUUUGGUGGUGGCUGUUGGCAGUAAGAACCCCAUGCUGUUCGGGCCGCUCAAGUCUGCUCAGUCCCCAAAGGUAUGCACCAUCAAAUUGAUGCAUGAAAAGCCCUACAUUUGGUUGUUCAAGUAUAUUUAGGGUGUGAUCAUGCAUAGUGUAUAUCUGUUAAGCCUAGCUCGCUGGUAGUUUUUGCAAGUAGAGUUUUUUUUCCUAAAAAAAUGGAACUGCCUGUUUGGUAGACGUGAAUAGUCUGCUAUUACUUCUGCUUGUUGGUUGUUCAACCCACACUGCUUGUCGUCAUAGAAAAAUCUAUUGAAGAGAGUCUGAUUAUUAUUUUUUAAAAAAAAACUCUAGGUGUUGAAUUAAUUAUGUUCUAGAAACCAAACUUAUGGUCUCAUGCUUCUGUCACUGUUUUAUAGUGAUGGCCGUUUAGGAAAUCUCAUCAAUUGAUGCUGCAUGAAAAAUCAAAAGCAGAAAUUAAUCUGAAAUUCUUCAGUUAAGAAGAAAUUUGUCUUUACAAGAAAGGGCAAUAUAGCUUACUUCAGUUUUGGGGCAGUUUGUGCUGGACCAGCACCAAUUUCUUCAAGCAAAAUAGGUUUCAAUGUCUCAUCAUAACAUAAAUGAGUUGUCCUGGGCAUGUCAGUCUAAAUAAAAUACGUGUACUUUAGAUAUAUUGCACUUUGCAUCCAUCCCACGGGGCCAAAUCACAAAGCAUGGUGAUCCUCGUGCUGCUCUUGUACAACAACAAGAGUUCCAAGUGAGAGCGACAAAAGCUGAUUAUCAUCUAAAAUGCAAUUUGUGUCCAUAUUUCCCCAUCACCUGGUAUCCAAGCUCUUUAUGUGUUAAGAAAACUCACUGUCUUGAGGAUCGAGGACAUGUUCUUGCGGUUGGAGCAAUUUGCAAAAGCUGGGCCUCCAAAUACACAACACAAAUACGCUUGUGAUAUAUCUGUAAGAUGAGGCAAAUUGGUCUUUUCUUUUCAAGCUCCCAUCAUACAUAUCUUUACAUAGAAUCCACUAGGCCAUGUGUUCCUAGGUUAGUUCGCGGUUCAUAUGAUUUCAUUAUUGUCAACAUAGGAGGCCUGCACUAGCUUAUUGUCUGGAGGUAACCUACUGUCUUUGUGAGGUGGAACUUGAAACCAGGAGCUCUAGCAGAAUAACCAAGGACCGUAACAAUUUGCAUACUUUUGAUUGGUAUCAGUACUAUAUUCAUUCAGGUUGGCACACUUCUGAUGAUGAGAAGGAAAUGCAUAAAAGCACAGCUUCAUGCUGUUUUGUGUCUUCUUAUUGGCAUUCCUGCUUGUUUUUCUUGCCCGUCUUUGUCAGACUUCAUUCCUUUACCAUGCAACAACUUUGAUUGAUUUUCUGAAUAUGUUAGGCAGGAGGGAACAUGGAUAGUUCCACUUUGUUCUCUUGCGCUCUUUUCAGCAAAAACUGUGCUUCUAUUAUACCAAGGGUCUUUUUUCUCUGGCUUAAUGGUUAAUCUGUUCUUGCUUGCAGUACAUGGUGUUUGCGUGCUCUGACUCUCGUGUAUGCCCAUCAGUGAUCCUCGACCUGAAACCAGGAGAUGCCUUUACUGUCCGUAACAUUGCCGGCCUUGUUCCGGCCUACCAUCAGGUUCAUGCUUGUGGAGAAUAUUUUUCACAUUUUAAUUUCGUGAACUAAUAACUUUGGCCUGCACAUUUGAAGGUAUAACCAACUAACUUGCAGAUUCAUGUCUGACCACAGAAUAUGCACUCCAGCGUUGCUUCAGCCAUUGAGUUUGCUGUGACCAUCCUCAAGGUGAACUUCCCCCGUUUGACUUAUAGCACUCUUCUCUCCAACUCUCCGAACAUCCAUUUAAGUUUGGGGUCAAUUUUGUCAGUGAAUUGUAAGAAAAACUAAACAAAUAGCACAUAUGGCCAAUCAAAUUAACUGUUUGCACAGCAGGAUACUGUUGCAAUCCUCCCUAAUAGUUAGCAUGUUUUAAGAAGGUAAAUAUUGUUUAUCAUGUGUUGGUGUUCUAGUAUGGUAGGUUCAUAGCUUUUUUAUUUAGAAUCGUUAUGGUUAGUAUACCUACAUGUGUUUUCUUAACUCACUGUAAUCUGUCCACAGGAACAGAAAAGUUCUAGAAUUCAACAAUAUUGGCAGCUAUACUAUGUGCUCACAUAAUCUUGCCUUCUACAAAUUAUCAGAGGCGUGAUUUUCUUCUUACCAUGAAAGCACUACUUGAUACACGCUUUUGCAGGUUAAGUGCAUUGUGGUUAUUGGUCACAGCUGCUGUGGUGGAAUCAGGGAACUCCUCUCUCUGAAGGAAGAUAGACCUCAAACCUAGUAAGUAAUUGUCUUAAUCUUGCUCCAAAUUGAUCUGUCUCCUUUAUCUUUAUUUUACUGGUAAAAACAAAACAUGUAUAGCUGUAUAUGACAAAGAGGUCCAAGCAAAUGAGUUAGUUAAAACUUGACUCAAGCAGUUUGUACAGUACUAAUAUCUAAAGCUUCUAUGACAUCGUGUCUUUCACUCUUGUUCUAAUAAGUUGUCCUCUUUUCAUUUUAUCUCUUAGCCACUUCAUUGACAAUUGGGUCAAGAUCGGUCUGGCUAUCAAGAAAAAGGUGGAGCGAGAACAUGCCUUAUUGUCUUUUGAUGACCAAUGCACCAUGUUGGAAAUUGUGAGUAUUAAAAAAGUUGGUUUUCAGUACUUCAGUUUGGUGAUUUAUCUCACUGCUAACCACAGUGACUGAAAUUUCCCACAUGUACUAGUAGUUGUUUCCCAAUCAGAUUAGACACUGAUGUGGCAUUGUUUGCAUUUCUGAAUGCUGUGCAGGAGGCCGUCAAUUUGUCCCUUAGAAACCUGACGACCUACCCAUUCGUCAAGGACAAAUUGGGCAAGGGAACGCUCAAGCUGAUUGGUGCUCGCUACGACUUUGUCCAUGGCAGCUUCCAGACGUGGCAUGCCUGACAGCUGAGGUUAUGAAAAUGGCGCCAAUGUGUGUUGUAUAUAAAGAGUUAUCGACGUGGCAUUGCUCAGUAUGCAUGCAAAGGUGUUCUUUGUUUCAAGUUGAACAGCAAGUACAAGGGGGUGCGAUUCUAAUGUGCUGUGUGCACUCCAUACUUUGUAUUACGGGUGUAGAAAAAUAUUUCUACUCACGCUGGAGAUGAAAACUUGGCCCCGGUGUGCAGUUUUUAAUGGAUUCGGAACGUGUCUGAUUAAAGCUUGAUCUAUUUUUAGGGAAACUUUCAGGCCAGUCCCUGUUAUUCUGGAGAAGUUUUUACAUGUACGUGAUAACGUGAAUCCCAGUUGUCCGUGUCCACAUCUGGAGCAAGGUAAAAUGCUGUAUUUGAAAAGCGUGGAUGUGAGCUAAUACCUCUGGAAAAGCGUGGAUACUUGCUCAGGCAAGUUCUCAAAAAGAAGAAGAAGAAGAAGCUAGUACCUCUUGGCAAACUGGCAACAGAAACUUGUGAACAACCUGCAUGACUCGGUGCUGUGUUCAGCCUGACCUGAUUGGAUGCAUAUCCCAAUCGAAUUGGCUGAACCGAUUUGGUAUUUUCGCAGCCAAAGGUUGCCGCAGCUUAUAAAUUUUGGACAUCACCUGAGCUGCCCUGCUUCUACGGCAGGCUUGCAGCGGGUCGCAAGGCGGACCAGGAUGCUCGUGCUCGACGUCUGGACACGUCACGGCUACGCUGAGCGAUGACAUAUUGGCAUAUUGCCGCGGCCAGCCGUUGCUCUCUGCGACAGGGUGACCGUGCUGCCGUCGUGCGGAACCUCCCUCAUCUGCGGCAGGGCGGUGCGCGAGCUGCCAGUGCGGCAGUGCCCAGUGCCUCCGAUCCGCCGGAGCGCGGCGCGCCGUCGCGGCUCCCAAAGUUGCCUUUCGCUCGGCCAACGCAAAGGGGGAAACAAAUACACCAACCAGAGAACACGGCCGCAUAUCCCGGCGUUUCCUUUCGCGUCACAGCGUUUAGAACUUAAGCGGAACAAACACCACACGCAUGCGCCCGCGCGCUCUUCCCUCCUCGCCGCCCGUCUCCGCUCCUCCUCCGCCUCCCACCGAUGCGGCCACCGCCGCACCUCGCGGCCCCCUCCGCCGCCGCACCCUCGUCCGCCGCCUCCCACACCGGGCCGUCCCGGCGCCGGCACCGCCACCGCGGCGCGACGACGACGUCCUCCGUCGCCUGCUGCCGCGUCGCGGCGCUCGCGUGCCUCCUCGCGGCGGGCGCGGCCACGGCGCUGCUCACCCUCUCCCUGCCCUCCACGCCCGGCGCGUCCACCACAACAACAACUGACUUCACCGUACGAUUGUCAGUCGCGAACCAGCCGCCGCCACCAACGCAUUUGCCAGCGCCUCCGGCACCCGCCACGCCGCCCCCUCCGCCGCCGUCCCCGCCCGCCGUGAGGCGUCGAAAGCGAGAGGUGAGGCAGAGCUGGCGUGUUCCAAGAGUCAGUUUCUUCGCUCGUAGUGAUCUCAAUCCAUUCGCGUUCGCCCGUGUUGUUUUUUGGAUCAGCCGUCGUACUGGAGGAUGGCGCCGGAGGAGGCGCUUCGGUACGCCAAGAGGGAGAUACGCGACGCUGAGCCGGCGCUCGACGACCCUGACCUGUACGCGCCUCUGUUCAAGAACGUCUCCCAGUUCAAGAGGUAAAACCGGCGGUUCUCAUCCAAGCAAUUGUGGACGCAUGCGGUGCUUCUUCCCUUCCUCCGAAAAUGGAGGAGCUUCCAACUUUUUCGCGUGUUUUUUUGGCAUGUUCCUUGCAUAAUCGACGCCUGCUAUUGAUUCCAUUUCAUGUUGCCAUUUUUUGCAAAACAUAUCGUGAAUGAACUUUAAAAUUUUCUACGGAUUGCGGCAUUUUGUAUCCCGUGCAUUGACAAAACGCCUAUCAUAAUUGUAGCAAAUGUGAUCAUCAUCCAGGAGCUAUGAACUGAUGGAACGGAUACUCAAAGUUUACAUUUACCAGGACGGCCGGAGGCCCAUCUUCCACACGCCCCCGCUCAGCGGCAUCUACGCCUCCGAGGGCUGGUUCAUGAAGCUCCUCAAGGAGAGCCGCCGGCACGUCGUCGCCGACCCCAGCAAGGCGCACCUCUUCUACCUGCCCUACAGCUCCCAGCAGCUGAGGCUCACGCUCUACGUGCCCGACUCCCACGACCUCAGGCCGCUGUCCGUGUACCUGAGGAACUUCGUCAGAGGCCUCGCCAACAAGUACCCCUUCUGGAAUCGCACCAGAGGGGCCGACCAUUUCCUCGUCGCCUGCCACGAUUGGGUAAUACAUUAUAAGCUAAGCUCUCUCGAUCAAUACCACUAGAAUUCGAUCAAGCUCAAGAACUGAUCAUCUGAACGUGACCAUUACGUCUUGGGUUCUUGCAGGGACCUUACACGGCGACCUCGCACCGCGACCUCCGUAAGAACGCCAUCAAGGCGCUGUGCAACGCCGACAGCUCGGAGGGGAUCUUCACCCCGGGGAAAGAUGUCUCCCUGCCGGAGACGACCAUCCGGACGCCGAGGCGGCCUCUCCGGUACGUGGGCGGGCUGCCGGUGUCCCGUCGGGGCAUCCUGGCCUUCUUCGCCGGCAACGUGCACGGCAGGGUCCGGCCGGAGCUCCUCAGGCACUGGGGCGACGGGCGGGACGACGACAUGAGGGUGUACAGCCUGCUGCCGAGCAGGGUGUCCCGGCGGAUGAGCUACAUCCAGCACAUGAAGAACAGCCGCUUCUGCCUGUGCCCCAUGGGGUACGAGGUGAACAGCCCCCGGAUCGUGGAGGCGCUCUACUACGAGUGCGUGCCGGUGAUCAUCGCCGACAACUUCGUGCUGCCGCUGAGCGAGGUGCUGGACUGGAGCGCCUUCUCGGUGGUGGUCGCCGAGAAGGACAUACCGGACCUCAAGAGGAUCCUGCAGGGGAUCCCGCUCCGGAGGUACGUGGCCAUGCACGGCUGCGUGAAGCGGCUGCAGCGGCACUUCCUGUGGCACGCCAGGCCGAUUAAGUACGACCUCUUCCACAUGAUCCUGCACUCCAUCUGGUUGAGCAGAGUGAACCAGGUGGAGCUCGACGGCUGAAUUAUAGAAGACAUCGCUUAGGUUCUUGAGAUGCUUGUUGAGAGAUAUUUUUAGGGAUCGUCCCUUGAUUGAGCUUGGUUCAGUACAAAGUCUGUAAACAGAGGCAGGCUACAUUUCUUGGCAACUUCACUGCACCAAAAAAGGAGUGUCACAUGCAGCCGAGCUGCAACAGAACGACAAGGACGUAUCAUCUGACGUGCGUAGCUCGAUCUGACGUAUUACAGCGCAAUGACCGGUUAAGCACAGAAAAUUGACAUUGGAGAUGGCUGACAUGAACUAGUAGUAUAGAAACCUCUGCUGCUCUGCAUUCUAUAGCCCCUGAUAAAGCGUACUAAUUGAUGGCCCAGUACCAAAAGCAGCGUGUCGGAUGUAUACCUCCGGCUAAUCCGCAGCAAUAUUUACUCCAAAAUUGUACAACCGGUACUGGAUUCCAACAAAUCAACAAUGGCAUGGCGCGAUCACCCUACCCUGUCAGGCUCAGACCAUGCUGAAGAGAUUGGCCGUGGAGAUGAGCGCGUUGAGAGCGAGCAUGAGGAACCCGAUGAACGACAGCCACAGGGCGCUGCUGAUCUUCCUGUUGAAGGCGUCCGUGCCGAACCUCGACACCCACAGGUCGUUGCGAGACGCGGCCGCCGACGACGCCGACAUCAGGAGGUACGCCAGAACCUGCGGCAAGCGGCACGUCGCCGAACGAAGCACCAACGGGUUCAGUCAGUCGAGUCCCUUGUACAUGAGCGGUUUCAGUUCAGGAAUGAGUGGGGGCGGCGCACUGCACUUGCCUGGUCCAGGAACAGGCUGCAGUAGUAGCUUGGCCUGCUCCGGAAUAUGAACGUGGGUGAGAUCAGGCGGCGGAUCUCGCCGAAGGAUUGCGCGAUCGAGUAGGCGCAGACGAUCACGUUCACUGCGACGGCGUACCUGCCAUGAAUUUGCCAAGAACAGGAAUGUAACUUUAUUACUUUACCUUGAGAGAAUGAAAGAAGGGAAACAUCUGAUGAUCUGAAUGGACCGGAUACGAACUUGAACUCGACCAAGUGGUAUGUUAGGUAGAUAGAUAGUUUUUAGGUUGCUAGUUUUUAAAAUAUUCAAAAUCAUUACCCAGUUGCUCGAUUUGGUCCGAUGUGUUGCGCUCAGUUUAAUUUUCUUUUAUUUUCUUCUUUGUUUUUAAGAAAGAAAAUAUUCUUGUACGAGCACAACUCCCGUAACCGUCAGCAACCGGACACGUCCGACGAAACCGGCAAAAAGAAACCGCGGGAGGAGACGGAACGUGUGAGCAAGUGGCGAUCACUGACCUGUACUGCUGGUGGCGGGCGUGGGAGUCGCCGGCCCACCCGGACGUCCGGGCGCUGGCGAUGACUGAGAAGGCCGCGAGGCUGAGCGCCGCCGUGGCCAGCCGCAGCGUCACCGACAGCGGCCUCCUCUCCCCGACCGCGGCCACGGCCGCCACGUCGGGGGGCACCGAUCCCCCGUUCUCCGCCGCCGCCGCCGCCGCGUGCUGCUGUCGCUGCUGCUGGCGGUGGUCGAGCUGCGGCUUGCCGAGGCGCAGCGGCGACGUGACUGCCUCCUCUGCGGGGUCGAAGUGUGGCACCGCGAUCGCCGGUGCGGCUGCAGGCGACAGCGGCGGCUUCCAGGUCUCCGCGCGCUGCUUGGGCGUGCUCUGGCCGCUCUUGUUGUUGAUGUUGGCCGCGGGCGCCGGAGUCAGCGGCGAGGGCGGCGUGGGCGACGGCGACGGGGACGGGGACUUGGUCGCGAGCGACCCCUGCGACGGCGUCCGGAGGAGCCCCGUCGCUAGGCGGAGCUGCGGGCGGGCCGGCGCCGCAGCCCCCGCAGCGCCCCCUUCUUGCCCGUUCUUGGCGGAGGGGGAGGCGGGCGGCGGCAGGAGGUGCGGCGUGGGGAGGCGCACGGGCGAGAGCGGCGGGCUCUUGGCGGGCGCCCCACCUCUCCCGUCGCGGGGCAAGCUGGCCUGCUCCCGCGGCGACGCGUCGAGCGACGGGCUCCUGGUGGGCAUUCCUCCUCCCCUCCCGUCGCUGGGGAAACUUGCCUGCUCCCGCGGCGACGCGUCGAGCGACGGGCUCCUGGUGGGCGUUCCUCCUCCCCUCCCGUCGCUGGGGAAACUUGCUUGCUCCCGCGGAGACGCGUCGAGCGGCGGGCUCCUGGCGGGCGCCCAUCCCUUCCCGUCGCUGGGCAAGCAGGCCUCCUCCCGCGGCGACGAGUCGAACGACGGGUUCCUGGUGGGCGUUCCUCCUCCCCUCCCGUCGCUGGGGAAACUUGCCUGCUCCCGCGGCGACGCGUCGAGCGACGGCGGCGGCGUGUGGUACUCCUCCCCGGGCUGCGACGAGGGCGACGGCGACAGGGGCGUCUCCAGAGGCGGAGGAGGAGCGGGAGCGGGCACGGGCGGCGGCGGCCUCUCCGGCGCCGGCGUCCGUGGCGUCGACGGCAUGGUGCGACACCGCGCGCGGCGGGUGGACGGGUGGAAGGAAGGGAUCAAGCGAGGAAGGGUCAGGGGAGGAGUGGCCGUGUUAUGUAUGUGAGGUUACGUGUAGCUUUCCCAUGUUUAUGCGCUUCCUUCCUUCCGUCGCCGGUCGCCCCCCCUAUCUCUCCCUCCCUCGCGCUUUGCUCUGCAACCUUUUCACCGCCGCCGAUCCAUCCGUUGCUGCCUCCGCGCAGAGCACUCCAAGCCGCAGCAGCAGUUAGCCAGUUACAAAUUACAAUCUUGUCAGUGGCCGCAGAAACGGCGUUGUGCCGUGCCACGCCAAUAAAACCGAACACGAUCAUCUCGAUUGCGUCGGGAAUCAUGGCCGUUCCCUUUCCCCUGAUUUCGGGUUCAUGCAAGGUGACACGGAUCGAGGGGAGGAGACACAGGUCAAUUAGAAACGUUGGUCGCGACAUCAUGCUUGAUUUUGCUGGGCUGGCAUCGCAGAAUCAUGGCGCGAUGGCCAUCCUAAAAAAUAAUUGCGGUGUCCACGUCGUCGGUUGGCGACUGGGAACCGUCUUUGCUGGGGCACACAAAUGGGCAGUCAACCUAUCAUAUUCUUGGCGGCUCUUGUUUCGUUUGCACAAGUUGGAGAGGGAGUAGGGUAGGGCGGAAGACCUAUCUGGAAAUACAGGCAGACACCAUGCAUGAUCAUCCAGCUUAAUCGAACCGCGUCAUCAGCAAAUGAGGUAGUUGUCGAUUCCCUUUUGCUGGCUUCACAUGAACGCUACGGAGCUUGAAAACAACAUCUGUCUUGCAGAACCCCACUGGUCUUCAAUUUCUAACACCCAAGUAGCAUCAACUACCAUAUUCUUGGGGGAACAAAACAUAUCUGCACAGGAACACAGCAUAUAUGCAGGAAUUAUGUAUAGGUGCCUUGAAUGAGGUUUCGUGGAGGAUCUUGGGCCAUGAAAAGGAUGGGGCUACGCUAAUUUAGGCACAAGAAAAGAAUUAGGUUCAAAGUGGGACCUGAUGUUAGAACGUCGCAGCCAGCGCAUUGCUAUCGUCGCGAGGCAGCAGAAUAUUCUCACUAAUUCACAUGAAUUUCGAACGCGACGAAUUCACAUGAAUUUCGCAGAACAGCAGUUCGUUUUACACGUGAACGUGUCGUGUGCAAAUAUGUCUCCAACUUGACAAAGAUUUCCCACGAAAGAAAAACAAAACAAAAGCAUCAUUCAGUCAGCCAGUAAUGCACUAGUGCUGCGGCGGAACGUGGAAUAUCCGGGGCUCCCGGUAAAGGCAGAGCGCGAGCGUGUAGCGUGUCUACCAGUUCGGCAGCAGCUUAGUGCUAAAGACGCCCAUGAUGCGCAGCGUGAUGGAGUUGCUUUUGGGAAAAGGAGGCGCUUUGAUCCGGUGGGGGCUUGUGCUAGAUUUUUCCGCUUUCCUUUUUUUCCCCUUUACCUUCUAGGGUGGCCAGGUGAGUUGGUGCCAUGCACACCUUAGUGGUUAAGGUAUCUCACUCAGGCAAGCCAAACCUUGUAGGCCUUCAGAUUCUUUUCUGCCAUUCCUGAUCACCGAUCCAUAGAAGCUUUUCGAAUCACCAGUAACAACAGAAUUUAGCUUUGGCGACUCAGAUCGCAGAAUGAGCUACGCGGAAACGCCAAAUGUCACGAACCCAAAGCUGCACGACGCAAUGCUUUGUAGCUUUAAGCUUUCUUGAGCCGCACGGCGUUGGUAAGGUAUCAGAGUGCAAACUGCAACAACUUGCUACUCCCUCCGUUCCUCCGUUCCAAAUUGUAGAUCGUUUUAGCUUUUAAGGUUUAUAAAUAUUAUUAAGCAUCUAGAUACUGUGUACGUCUAGGUGCAUAAUAAAAUCUAUGAACCUAGAAAAGUUAAAACGACCUACAAUUUGGAACGGAAAGAGUACAAUCUUAUAUGCUGAACCAGCUGCGAGAAAUACCCAGUUUAUAAUAUUCUUAUCAAAUGCUCGAUUAGGAUACAGUGAUACACCACGAGUCAGCAGAAGCAUCACCAUGUCAAAAUGUGUUCUUACGUAUCCAGGCUCAGAUGAAGACCAGGUUCAGAUGAAGACCCACCACGUUGAUUAAAUUUCGCGAAAUCAGAGCAGUCUCCAGAGAUGGCAUAACUUCAACUUACUACACCUGCAUCAUCGAAUCUUCAUCCCGGACCAGUUACUUGUGUUCAUCAAGUUGCUAAUGACUGUACUGUUUAGCAUCACAAGGCGACCUGAAAUUUCUCGGGUACACGGAGCAGAGGUAGCUGAUAGUCUCCAGGCUCUCCUAGCUGCCCGCACGCAGCCAUUUGAUCAUCCCCUCUGCUGAGCCGAACAAAAACUAUAAGGCCACCUUGAAUUAAAACAUUGCGGAACUCGAGUAUCUUCUCAUCGGGUGUGGGCUUGAAUUGGGAACCACUGUGGGGAUUGAAAGAAAUGAGGUUGAUCUUGCAAGGGAUCCCUUGGACAAGCUCUAUAAGCCUCUUCGCAUCAUCCAUACUGCAAGGACAGUUAAUCCAGCAGAAAGUGUCCAAUUUAGGUCAAGCAGAAACUUAGUUAACUGUGAUAACUUCAAAAAGGCUCAUACUGAAAAGGAUUCAGUUUGCCUAUGGAUUAAUGGUAACACUAGGUUAAUACAAAAAAGAAAAAGAAGAUCCAAUGUUUCAAUUCGUCUACCAAGCUAAUGAUUACAAAAACAACAUGAACUACAGACUGUGACUACUGACUAGUAGGCCUAAAUGUAUGGUUUGACCAAAUAGGAAAAGAAAAGCUUUCUGACUAAAAGGAAAAACGUCGGCCUUUUGCAAGUGUUAAAGAAAAAUGCAUGCAGACCUUGACACUUAACAGAAAGGGGAUUUUAUAUGUAACCUAUGCUAGUAGAUUCAUGAUAUACCACUAAGCCCCCAUAGGCGGAGAAUUAAGAUACUGCUUAACAGAAAGGGGAUUUAUAUGCAACCUAUGAUAAUAGAUUCAUAAUAUAUGACUAGACAGAUAAAGUAGGCAAAGACACUCUUCAGCAUAUUUCUCACCUGUCGUUCACUCCAGAAAGCAUGACAUAUUCAAAUAGAACUCUGUAAUUCUUUCUGAGGCAGACUUCCUCCCUUAAGGUGCCAAGAAGCAAGUUAAGAUUGUACUUUCUGUUUAUGGGCAUUAUCCAGUUUCUAACCUGCAAAACAAGUUUAUUUACAUAUCAGCAAAAAAAAAUGGCAAACCAAAAAAAAA